UUUAAUUUUUUAAACUAUUAAAAAAAUCACUAGAUAUAGUGGAUAAGUAUAUAUUGUUUAUUAAUUAUUAUUCUAUAUAAAGAGUGAGAUUAAAAAAUUAGAAAGCACAUUAAAAAUAAAAAUAUUAAUUAAUUUUAAAAAAAAUGAGCUCUUAAAAAAGAAACCCUAAAUCUGAAGUUUGUUGUUGGGGAUAUAUGGUGAAAUUGGUAAUUUGGCCUUUUGCAUCAAAAGCCAAUGAACCAUUAAAGCGGAUAAAGCAGAAGUUCAUUAGUGUGUCAAUAUAGUCAUACUUAUGUCAGCAUUCGGGGCUGCUUAGAAUGUGUACAGAAUUAUUGGAAAUUUUAUCACAGAACUAAUUGCUUGUUGACAAAGUUUGUUUGUUCAGAGACCUAGAUCUUAUAAUUUCUUACACGAUCUGUUAACACGUUAUGUAAAAGAUACAAAAAUACGGAUUUCAGGUCAACACAAUAACUAAUUGGGUUCUUAUCAGAUUACACGAUAAGAACCCUAUAAUAACAGGUUCUUAAUAGGUUUACACGAAAAUAACAUACUGGUAACCUAUUUUAACAUUCUAAGAAAAAAGAUAUUUUUAUGGUUUUAAUUUUUUAAACUAUUAAAAAAAUCACUAGAUAUAGUGGAUAAGUAUAUAUUGUUUAUUAAUUAUUAUUCUAUAUAAAUUUUAAAAUUUUAAGUUUUAUUUAUUUAUUUAUUUUUAUAGUAUACUAUACGUAAAGAGUGAGAUUAAAAAAAAUUAGAAAGCACAUUAAAAAUAAAAAUAUUAAGUAAUUUAAAAAUACCAAACACAUUAAAAAAUUAUAGUAAUUAAUUUACAAGUACGAAAAAUGUAAACAAUAUGAAAACACUUAUAAUAACAUCAUUUAAACUUUGGGGAUGGGUACAUCGUCGUUUGAAUUUUUAAAACUAUACAAACCCUCAUGAAUAGUAUUUUUAAGAGUUAAAAAAUAAAUAAAAUUCAUAAUCAUUAAUGUUCAAAACAAGUGUUCAAAGAUAUGCAAAAUGAAGAGAGUUGCGUUCCAAGGGUUUUAUGGUAAAAAAACAUGCAAUGUUCCUCAACCUUGAAACACAUCUCUUUUCAUUUUGCAUAUCUUUGAACAUUUGUAUUUUGUAGUAUGCACUAAUGUUUUCUCAUUAGGCUCUUAUUUUGGGUAUGUAAACUUGAAAUACAUGUUUUUUUUUUAAUAAUGUUUUGAAGUAAUAUUUAUGUAACAAUAUGGUAUGUAUAUAUUAAUUUAGUAUUAUGUUUUACAUUUUUUGGGUCAACUUAUGUUUUUCAUUUUCAUUAUUUAUUAAUUUAAAAUAUAUUUUUUUCACAGUAACGGGUUAGGUCAUAUUACCUGAUAAUAUUAACGGGUCAAUUUCGCAUCGAAUCAUAUUACUUGUUUAUUUUAACGGGUGUUACAUGACACAACCCGUUAAGCUAUUGGGUAUGACACGAAAACGACAUGAAUACGAGAAACAUGACACGAAUGCCAGGUCUAGAAACCAUAUUAAUGGGAAAAGAGAUUUCCUCUUGCAACCAUUUCACCACAUGUCAAAGCUUUAUUGAAUGUUGGGUUCACUUUCUAAACACGUGACGAUCACUGAUUGGUAACGGAUUCCACUCGAACCAUGAAACGGUUGUAAGAGAGAAUCACUCUAUUGGAAGAGAAAUUUCUCUCUUAAAAUAUUGCCGUAGUGACCUUUCCGCAACAUAAAAGUUGUUUAUAUGUGCAUUUUGAGUCAUUGAUGAAUGCAUAAAUUAAGACAGGAAAUUGGGAAUAUCACAAACUAGGGCAAGAAGUUUAAUUACAAAGUUGAAAGAGACACAAUCAAUUAUGAGCAUAUCGCACGACGACAUAAAUGUUAAGAAUAAGGUAUUUGUCGAUUUCCCCAUUCCCCUGAAUUUGUUAGGAGUUACCAUUUUCGUCAUGAGCUAUAAUUUUAUUCAAUUAUCUCCUGAAACUUUUAUAAUUGAUCAAUUUUCUCAAAAACUUUAAUUUUAGCAAAUUACUCACCUAAACUUUAAUUUUAAUUGCAAAAAAAGUAAUUUUAUCGAUAAGGUAGACAACAUUUUUUUUUCUAUUCCGCUAGUUCACUUGGGGGGAGGGGGGUCAAUUAGAAAAAUUAGAGGAGUAAUCGGGUAAAAUUAAAGUUUAUUGGAGAAAUUGGCCAAUUAUAGAAGUUUAGGAGGUAAGCGGCUAAAAUUAAAGCUCAUUAAAGAAAUUGGCCAAUUAUAAAAGUAAAUUGGCCAAUUAUAAAAGUUCAGAAGUAAAAUUGAUAGUUACUUACAAAUUUGGAAAAAAUCAGCCACUACUUCUUCAAGAAAUAUUGAAGUAAUUUUCAAGUUUGGCCCAACUGAGGAUCCACCAAAUAGGCCCAAUGACACCAACACCGCAGCCCUAAAUCCAAAAGGAAAGCACAAAAAAUGUUGGCAUAUAAAUAGAAGCUGGCGGUCGGCGUUAUGCGGAAGGGCGCGAGCGGGGCGGGGCGAGGAUGGUGCGGGAGAGAAAGGGGUGCUCUCUGCUGGAAGCGGCAAUCAGUCGAACACCAUGUGGAUAAGAAAAUAACUGAGGGGAUCGUGAUUUCCUUAUUUCCAUUUUAUAAAGUUUUUAUAGUUUUCAAUCUGAAUAUGUUCGAUUCGGUUGCUGCUCGUAUGAGAUCCACUCUCUCUCUCUCUCUCUCCUUCCUGCCCACCUCAAACCCUCGGGGCCUUAUGAUGAUGUCUGAAGGUUCUCCGCUUCGAUUUUAUUAGGUUUUUGUUAGAUUUGAGUGAUUAAUAUUUUCUGCAUUUUUUUUGUUUGAUUUCUUGCUGGUUUUUAAUUUCUUUGAUAACCCAUGAAGUUUUAUUUAUUUUUUUUUUAUUUCCCCGUAGUGUAUGUAUAGAGAGAACUGUGAAUGUAUAUAUAUAUAUAUAUAUAUAUAUAUAUAUGUAUGUAUGUAUGAAUGUAUGUAUGUAUAGAGUUUUUCUAGGUAAGCCAUGAUUUUUUGGAAAAUUGGUGGCGUUGAUGAAGAAAUUUUGAGUCUGACGUCGUGUCGUUAGGUAAUGUUAUUAAUUCACGUGUUCUAAUAAGAUCAGUGUACAAUAUAGUUGAUAUGUAUUAUGUCAUGGACUUUGACUAUAGUAUUAAUAAAGAGAUGCAAUGCUAUGACAUAAGUGGAUUUAAUACGGUGUGGUAUAGCUGCUACAUUGAAAAACUUCUUUCCUUGUGUGAGUUUGUUUUGCAAACUGUGCAAUUAAUAUUAAUUUUUUAUAUAGUUUAUGGAAGUGAUUUCGAACUUCUAUUUCAAUUUAUUCUCUAAAUUUCUUUAUUUAAGGGUGUUUUGGUAGCAUAAUUCUGUUUUUAUUAUAAUCCUACUUGAAUGGUUAUUUUCUGAAGAUUUUGGGCACUGGUAGGGAUGUGCAAUGGUUAUGCGGGUGGGUAACCGCGGUUAAUUUAUCCAUAACCGUUUAUGUUCAUACCUGCAUAACCAUUUACCCGUUGGGUAAUUACCUAAACGGUUAUACCCAUACCCAUAACCGUUUAUAAACGGUUAACCAUACUCAUAACCGCAUACUCAUUUAACCGUAACCGUUUAAUAUCCGUUUACCCAUUUAUCAUUUUUAACCCGUUUAGCUUUUUUUUUUUACCAUUACCUUUUUUUCACCCGUCUAUAUGUUUUUUAACAACUUGAAAAUUAAAAAAAAAAUUGUCAUAAUUUUUUUUUGACAAUUAAAUACCGUUAUAGGUACAUUCAUCAUACAUUUUCAUAUUUUAAUUUUUUAAAUCCUUAUGCAAUUCCAAUAAUUGAAAUAAUAGUUUACAGAUAAUAUUUUUAACUGUUACCAAUAAAGGUAAAUAUAAUAUUUGCUAAGUAUUAUUGGAUUACAAAAAUUGUUUAUAAGACAUUUCUGUCAAAACAUUUCUGUUAAUUUCACGGUUACCUGCAAGAAAUUUAAAUUAAUUUGGCCAAUUCCUUGAUGAUGAGAACAUCAUUCAUGCAGUAGUGUUAUUGAGAGAAGGACCGAUGAAUUCCUUGCUAAUUGAUUGGGUGCUAAGUAUUAUUGGAUCGAGAACAUGGUUUGUGUUAGUUUUACAUAUAUAAAAUAAAUGGGUAAACGGUUACCCGUUUAUAACCGUGGUUAAUACCCAUGACCGUCCAUUUAAAUUUCAUGGAUAAACGGUUAUACCCAUAACCAUUUAUUUAUUUAAACGGUUACUCAUAACCGUAACCAUUUAAUUUAAAUGGGCGGAUAACCGUGGUUACCCAUAACCAAUGAGUAUUUACCCAUCACUAAGCAUGGGGUUCCUAUAAUAUGAAGGGAGACCUCCAAGAUUGGCUUUUCGGUUGAUGCUAUCUACAUAUUUAUUUUUGUCUCUUACAUACUUUAUGUUAAUUUAUGUUAUGUGAACUUCUCAAUUCAUUUGAUACUAUGGUCAGAAAUUAAGAAGAGUGUGAAAGAUAAAAAAGGAUUGGUGCUAUCUACAUAUUUAUUUUUAUAUUUUACACACUCUAUGUUAAUGUAUGUUACAUGAUCUUCUCAAUUCAUUUGAUAUGACAAUCAAAAUUAAAAAAAAUAUAAAAAAUAAAAAAUAAUGUGCAGAUAGCACUUCCCUUCAAAUAAAUGCAUUAGAUACUAACAACCACUUGACUUGACCAACCGAACACCCACCUUUAAUAAUUUCUGUGUUUUUUCCCUCUUGUUUUUUACCCGUUAAUUAUGAUUUUCUCCCGCCUCUUGUGAUGUGAUGAGUUAAGUGCUUACCAAAGCAAAAGACCAGAGAGAGCAAAAGCAAAUUGGAUACUGUUUCUUUGAGAGCAACUCCAGUCCUUGAAAUUAGGAUGGGCCGAAGCUUAAAAAAAUCUUAUUCGAAAUUAAAAAUAAAAUUAUUUUUUAUUAUUUUAUUAAAAUUUUAAUAAUACUUGAAUACGAAUGAAUUAGAUUUAGAUCAGCAUAUUUUUUAAAGAUGUAUUUGACCAAUUACUAUUUAUUGGGAGUAAUUACAAUUAUUUGAGUGGAUUAAAUAGGCUGGAUGUUAGCAUAUUUUUUAGAUGGAUUGUCUACCCUGCCAUUUCCAUACUCUUUCUAUCAUCUUCUGUUUUAUCUGGUCACGGUUAAGCCACGUUAACAUUUUAUAUUCCUAUUACAUUUUGUUUUAUUAUUUUUAUAAAAAAAUGAAUAUAAAAUGUUGACGUGGCUUAAUUGUGACCACACAAACAGAAGGAGAUGAGCAUAGUAUGGAAAUGGAAGGGCAGACAAUCCACCUCCUAAAAAAUAUGCUGACAUCCAGCCUAUUUAAUCCACUCAAAUAAUUGUAAUUAAUCCCAAUAAAUAGUAAUUGGUCAAAUACAUCUUAAUCUUUGAAAAAUAUGCUGAUAUAAAUCUAAUCAAUUCGUAUUAAAAUAUUACUAAAAUUUUAAUAAAAUAAUAAAAAAUAAUUUUAUUUUUAAUUUCGGAUAAGAUUUUUUUAAGCUUCGGCCCAGCCUAAUUUCAAGGACUGGAGUUGCUCUCAAAGAAAUGGAGAGUCUAUAAGAACUGGAUACCAAACUCUGUUGUGCACGAACUAAAUUCUUGGUUUCGAUAACAAUUGCAAUGGUGGUGAAGGUGUACGGCCCCUUCUAUGCUGCGCCGAAGCGUGUGCUGGUGUGCCUUGUUGAGAAGGAGAUUGAAUUUGAGACCAGCCCCAUUGAUCUCUUCAAGGGUGAACAUAAAUCUCCGGAAUUUCUCAAAUUACAGGUUAGCUUUAGCUAUUCAUUCAUUUGUUAAUCGUGAUUGCUCUACUCGUAUUAAUCUUUUCGGAAACUAUAAAUAUAUUGAUCUUUGCGUUGCUUUGUCUUUAAAAAUACAGCCCUUUGGACAAAUUCCUGUUAUCCAAGAUGGGGAUUAUACUUUGUAUGGUAUGCCUGUUUUUGAAUUUGAAUCAACGUUUGUCAAGUUUUAUCCUUUCUUGUUUGCAGAUAAAUAUUAAUUUGAUUAAUAUUGUCUGUGUUUUCUUUGUUGCAGAUAUUAGUUGAAAAUUGUGAAAUAUCGUAGGAAAUUUUUGAUAGAUAAAGAGUGUAGCAUGUUAUAUUCUUAACUUCAUAUAUCGUUUGACGUAAACCGCAUCGAUCUUGCGGCUUUUUCAUCUGGAAGGUGAUUGUUUUUCAGAUCAGAAGCUGGAUAACUUUGUUGCCAUGGUUAUGUAGUAUUCACCCCAGUAAUUAUGUUUUGUAUAUUUAUCUUGCCUUGAACCUUUUGAGUGACUUUCCCAAAGCAACAAAGUUUGAUCACUAAUGUUUCGGCAGCGAGAAAUUUUGUGUAAAUUGUUUGAUGAAAACCUUGUCCUCCCUUUUCUCUUCUGCAUAAGUGUAGUGACCUAACAAGUUCUGUAAUAAAACCGUCCAAAUUUGAUUUGCAGAAUCGCGCGCAAUCAUAAGGUACUACGCUGAAAAAUACAAAUCCCAGGGGACCGAUUUACUUGGAAAGACGAUUGAGGAAAGAGGUCUUGUGGAACAGUGGCUAGAGGUUGAAGCAAGCAACUAUCACCCGCCACUCGACAACUUGGUCAUGCACAUUUUGUUUGCCUCGGCAUUGGGAUUUCCUUCAGACCCGAAGAUCAUCCAGGAGAGCGAAGAAAAGCUCGGCAAGGUGUUGGACAUUUACGAGGAGCGGCUGUCGAAGAGCAAGUACUUGGCCGGUGAUUUUUUCAGCCUUGCUGAUCUUAGCCACCUUCCGUUCACCCACUACUUGGCCAAUAGUAUGGGGAAGGAGUAUAUGAUAAGGGACAGAAAGCAUGUCUCUGCUUGGUGGGAUGAUAUUAGCAGCAGACCAUCCUGGAAGAAGGUCCUCCAAUUUGGUGCGCCGUUUUAAGGUAUUUAAAGAAAUUGUUGCAUUCGCAACAUUGUCACGUUAAGGAGUUAUUAUAGAGGAGCGUUGGAUUCGCCGGUUCUGGAGCUUGGUCAGAAUAAAUAGUUGAAAGUAACGUGUGGGAAUAAUGAGAUCAUCCGCUCCUUGUAAUUUGCUUUCUCUGUCGGUACACAAGUAAGCUUUUUUCGCUGGAUAUGUAACUAAUGGUUUCAAUCGCUUUAUGGAUCAUGAAUGCUUAUGGCUUAAGCUGAAUUUGGGAGCGUUUUGUUAAAGUUGGUGGCUUAUUGGGAAGCCCUCUCUGCCAGUUUGGGCAUAGGAUGCUAUACCUUAUGUCCAAACUGGCAACUGUUUCACGAACUUUUUUCUAACAAAUCAAGCAAACUUACGAUGGAUUUCUAGGUGUGAUUUGCACUCAGAAUUUCCGCCUAUGACUAGUUGAGAAGAUUCUGAGGUUAAAUUUCAUAAUUGGCAUAUUCCGUUCUAGCUUGAGGUAUGACUUGCUGGAGGUUCUAUUGUGAAACCGAAAAGAUACUGUGCAUGUAAGUGUCAGUCGUGGCUAGCUAUGAAGGAGACGGUUGUUUGUCAUAUGAAUACAAAACAGGGCAGAUAGAUAUCUAUAACUUCAAUGCAUUUCAGAUGCUCUCUCAUCGCAUUUGGCACCUUGUACUUGUUUUAUGUCAUGGCCUCCAUUUUGUAUGCCAUAUUUAUACGAAAUUGUUAUUAGUAUUUUAAUUUCUUUUAAAUAUUUAUAUUUAAAAAGAAGAAUACAUAUGUGAGGAUUGCACAAUGAGAUUUUUGAAGGGUCAAUAGUAAUUCAUUUAUAUGUACAUAAUUUAUCUUUCCCCUACUAACUUAGAGCAUCUCCAAAGCAGAUGUCAAAAUAUCCAAAUCAACACUAAUAGUUGAAAAAUUGCAGCAUAAAUAUUUUCCAAUUGAAAAGUCAAACCGGAUGUCUCAUGACAUGGAUUGGCAUCCCUCACCUUAGCUGCCAAAAUUAAAGCAACUUCAAAUUGUUAUAAACUUCUUAUUUAAGUGUGAUUGUGUAAAUAAUAGAAUAUAUUUUAUUCUAGUUAUUCUUCUCUAUUAGGACUUGUAUUCCUGGGAGGAGAAGGAUUUCUUCCCUUUCUUAUUACUAUAAAUAAAGGCACUGCGUGGGGAAAUAACACAUCCUCUACACAACCCUACAAACACAUCUCUCUCUGUGCCGCCAACCCUCUUUCCCUUGUUAGUUAAAUAUAGGCCAAAACACGUUAUCAGCACACUCCUACCGCUGUGAUUAGGAAUCUGACACAGAAGUUUUUUGCAUCAAACCAGUUCGUCAAUAUCAUCACGCAAUCAGGUUCUUUUAAAACAACGGUUUUUAUCUUGAUAUUUUUGUAGCCUUGAUAGUAUGAACAUUCACCAUAAUGCAUGACCCAACUUUACGUUUUUCAAAUUUUAGAUUCUACAUAAAUUAUGUAUGCAACUAAGAUAAACUAAGAUAAACUAAGCCAAGUCUCUGGGCUCCUCGCGCCUAGCCAAGAUAAACUAAGCCACGAAGCCAGAAGCUCCGGGUUUUGCAACCCAGAAAAACCUUGACGCCAUUAAUGGCGUCUUUGUCCACGACCAUCACGGGCAUGGCCUGUAGCGACCGCCCAGAGCCUUUGGUCAUUGUCAUCGAUGACCAGAAGUCGUCCCCGACGAAAAUUGGACCGAGAUUCGCUUGAAUCUUAUCGGAAUUUUUUUUGAAAAUUCAAUUUGAAUUUUUCUAGGGUUUGGUUGUUGAAACUUUGAGAUUAAACCAUCUUCGUUCACCACCGUGACUUUCCUCGAGUCUUACCAACCCAGACAUGGCUGCCAGAAGCAGCGGCGCCGGGCAUCUUCACUGUUGCGCACACCCUACAUGGUUGGGGUUUGUGUUUGGUCUGACCCAUGGCCCUUUGGGCCUAGACCCUUAUCGGCCUAUUAACAUAAUUAAAAAUAAACUUUUUCCUGGGCCUAUGAACCAAGCCCAGUUGUUGUUCACCCUAAACCCACUUGCAACACCAACCCAUAUGGCUUAGGUCUACCGCAACAUAACCAAGCCCCUGAAGGGCUUUCCGAGUUUCAUGCAUCUAACCACACUAGAUCCCAGCUCGUAGAUGGUGAUUUUGUGCACCUAGCCUGUGAUGCACUCGAUCGCACCCCCUGGGAACAUACGCGCUGUGAAGCAGCAUAUUCGUGCCUCCAUGUUUGGGCCUGUAGCCCAUCUGAGCCCAACCUAGCCUAAGUUUUGGGCUUGGGCUGCACAUUUCAAAUUACUCUGCCCAGCUUGUGGGCUUUGGCCUAUUAUUUUCGGCCCUAAGUUUAAAUGCCUAUUUUUUAGGCCCUAUGAGUUUUAUAAUUUUUCACCCACACUUUAAUUUUUUUGCCCGAAGUCCAAAUAAUUAAUUCAAUUAUAAUUCUAGACCUAAAGUUCUAUUUGCAUAUUUUAUUGUUGUAUAUUUCUGUAUAUAUAUUUGUGUUUGUCUGUAGGAACAUAUGAACCUGAAGUUCAUAAUUAUUUCGAAGCCUGAAGUUUUCCUUAAAAAACAUCACCCAUGAAAAACACAAAGUUUUUUCAUGUAAAUUAAACCAAUAUAUGUCUAUUAGAAUCUGAAUGUUCUACUUCUAUGUGAAUGGAUUGAUUUUUUUUCUCCAUCACACUAACCACAUUUUGUCUAUUUAUUUUGAGAUAGGGGCAUGUCGACUUUAAAAAACUCGACUUCACCGCUUUAGAGAUCUCUAGAAGGAACUAACUCAAGUGGGUCCAAGAUGUGAAGCUCCACCUCACUGUAAAGAAUUUGUGUCCCGCCAUUGAAGAUGAGAUGGAUAACCUGGUUGGCGAAACUGAGAAAGCCACUGCCAUGAUCUUCAUCCAAAGACAUAUUCAUGACGCAUUGCAAACCGAGUACCUUGCUGUGAAAGAUCCAUGAGCACUCUGGGUCGCUUUGGCUGAUCAUUUUGAUUACCAAAAGGACAUCUUCUUGCCUAAAGCAAGACAUGACUACAAACAUUUGCACUUCCAAGACUUUAAGUCUGUGAAUGAAUAUAAUUAUGAAGUUUGUCGAAUCCGAUCACUUCUCAAGUUUUGUAACAAGAACUUGACCAAAGAGGAUCUCCCGGAGAAGACCUAUUCGACCUUCUCUGCUACUAAUAUUGUCCUGUAACAAAAUUUUAAGGCUCAGAAGUUCACCAAUACAAUGAUCUAACAAGUUGCUUACUAAGAAUGUAAAGUUGCACAUCGGAAACCUGAGCAAAUAAAAUACAACACGUAAUUAAUGAUUCCACUACUAAUAAAACCGAAGGUUUUUUUUUUGAGAUAAAACUCCACUGGUCCAUCUUUCUGAAAUCUUGCCAGUUGUUUGAUAAAUCGUCUUCGAUCUGCAAAAUCACGCGUAAUCAUAAGGUAAUACAUAGAAAAGUAUAAGUCACAAGGGACUAAUUUGCUGGGGAAGAAAAUUGAGGAAAGAGGGCUUGUGGAACAAUGGCUGGAAGUUGAAGCACACAACUUCCACCCACCUAGCUACAAUAUGGUCCUUCACAUUCUCUUUGCCUCAGUUUUGGGCUUUCCUUCAGACCCUAAGAUCAUACAAGAAAGUGAAGAAAAGUUGGGAAGAGUGUUGGACAUUUACGAGGAGCGGCUGUCGAAGAGUAAGUACUUGGCUGGUGAUUUCUUUAGCCUUGCUGAUUUUAGCCACCUUCCGCUCACUCAAUUCUUGGUGGCUAAUAUGGGGAAGGAGUAUAUGAUCAAGGACAGAAAGCAUGUCUCUGCAUUGUGGGAUGACAUUAGCAACAUACCAUCUUGGAAGAGGGUCCUCCAGUUUGGUUCCCCAUUUUAAGGUCGAUGUACCUUUGGAAGAAAAUGUAUGUACAUUGGGUGUACACAAUGGUUUUUCUUGUACUGAUAAUGUGCUGUGUAUGAAAAGUUAUUGUGAAAAGAAGGUUUUACUCUCUCGUACUUUAUAUAAACUUUUGUACCCUGGGGUUUUUUAAGAAUAGAAUGGCAGUUUGAAUAAUCUUCUGUAUUGAUUCAUUAAAAUAUACAAGCUAGGCUAGAGUUCUUAUACAAACUGUAAAGAUACAAUCACAUCCUGUAAUUCCUACAAAUAAGCUAAGUAAAUAUAUUUACAAAAGGAAAGAAUAAAUCGUUGAUAGUCAAUGAUCACCAUGCUACCAAAUGGGAAGGAAAUCAUUCAUAUCAUAACACUCCCCCUCAAGUUGGCAAGUGAAUGUCAAAAACCGCUAACUUGCUCAGCAAAAAAUGGAAUUGUUCUUUUCCUAAAGGCUUCGUGAAUAUGUCAGCAACUUGCCUUGAAGAUGGAACAAAUUUGGUGACUACCUUUCCUUGAAUUUUAUCUCGAACAAAAUGACAGUCAAUCUCUAUAUGGCGUGUCCGCUCAUGAAAAACAGGAUUAGCGGCAAUGUGAAAAGCCGCUUGGUUAUCACAGUGUAAAACAGCAGCGCCCAUAUCUUUAAUACGUAAAUCACAUAAAAGACUUUGUAACCAGGUGAGCUCACAACAGGUAGCAGCCAUUAAACGGUACCCUGCUUCUGUAGUAGAUAAUGAGACAGUCUUCUGCUUUUUGCUUUUCCAUGAAAUUAAAGAAUCUCCAAGGAAAACACAAUAUCCGGUAGUAGAACGUCGAAUCACCGAACACCCUGCCCAAUCGGCAUAAAAAAAAGCCUUCAAUUGUAACAAACUUUGUGAGGAAAACAAAAUACCUUGACCUGGAGUGUCCUUCAAAUAUCUCAAAACACGUAAAGCUGCAUCAUAGUGAGGCUUGCGAGGAUGUUGCAUGAAACGACUCAACGUGUUCACUGCAAAAGUAAUAUCGGGUCUACUGAUAGUUAAAUAUAUCAAACGUCCUAUUAAUCUUUGAUAGAUGGACAUAUCGUGAAGUAAAUCUCCUUCAUUAGGAAGUAGCUUCAGAUUUUGUUCCAUGGGGAAGCUAGCUGAUCGUGCUCCCAAAAGACCCAAAUCUUUCAAAAUGUCCAAUAAAUAUUUUCUUUGAGAAAUAAAGAUCCCCUUUUUUGAACGAGCAAUCUCUAUUCCUAAAAAAAUAUUUAAGGGCUCCUAAAUCUUUGAUGCAGAAGCGUUUAUUCAGAAAAGAUUUAAGAGAACCAAUAGCCGUCAUGUCAUUACCAGUGAUCAAGAUAUCAUCAUCGUAAAUAAGGAGAGCUGUGAACGAUUUGCCAACUUUUCUUGUAAAAAGGGAAUAAUUGGCUUUGGACUAUGUAUACCCAGCUGCACAAAUAGCCUCAGAAAACUUAAAAAACCACUGCCGAGAAGCCUGCUUUAAUCCAUACAAAGACUUGUGAAGACGACAUACUAAAUGCUCCCCCUGUCGCCGAAGACCAUGAAGUGGAACCAUAUAUAUUUCCUCAUAGAGAUCACCAUGUAGGAAGGUGUUGUGGACAUCCAUUUGAUGUAGGGACCAGCCACUAGCAGCUGCAAUAGCAAGCAGACAACGAAACGUAACCAACGUUGCAGUCGGGGAAAACAUAUCCUGGUAAUCAACACCUUCAAUUUGAGUGUAACCCUUGGCCACUAAACGAGCUUUGUAACGCUCAAUAGUGCCAUUGGACUUGUGCUUGAUUUUGUAUACCUAACGACAACCAAUAGGGGCCUUGCCAGGUGGAAGUGCAGUCAAAGACCAAGUGGCAUUAACUUCGAGAGCUUGAAUCUCCGAGGUCAUGGCUUCUCACCAUCGAGGAUCUUUAGCAGCCUCUGCAUAUGUGUUAGGUUCAACAGAGAGAGUAAUAUUGGCAAUAAAACUUUGAUAAGAUGGAGAAAGAUUUUUAUAAGAAAUAUACUUGCAUAAAGGAUGGUGAGUACAUUUUUUAGAAGAACCUGGAGUCGAUGCAUUGAGUGGGGAAGACGAGGAAACAUGAGAGCAAGCAUAGUCAUCAAGGUAAGUAGGUGUACGUUUAGGCCUAUCAGAGUGGCGUAUGGAGGGGGCAACAUGUGGACUAGGUGAUGGAGGAGGGCUAUUGGUGACUGUUUGGUUUGAGAGAGGUGUAGCAAUGAAGUUGGAUGAAGUCUCAUUGUCAACCUGAGGGGAUGGUGAGAUGGACUCAACAUGAGUGGGUGGGGUCUCAAUGUCAUCAUGAGUAGGAAGAGGCAAGACAGGUUCUUGAGUUUGGGGUUAAAGGAGUGGUGAUAAAAGGAAAAUUAGACUCAUGAAAAAGCAACAUCUUGGCUGGUGAAUACUUUGUGAGUAGAAAGGUUGUACAACUUAUAUGCUUUUUUACCAAAGGGAUAUCCUAUAAAGACACAUUUGCUGGCUCGUGCAUCAAAUUUAUGAAGAGGUUGAACAUUGGUGGCAUAAGCUAAACAUCCAAAAGUACGCAAGUGUGCAUACGAUGGUGGACGGUCAUAAAGAACCUCAAAAGGUGAUUUAUUGGACAAAAGUGGUGUGGGUAAGCGAUUUAUGAGGUAGAUUGCAGUAAGGACACAAUCUCCCAAAAAAUACAAAGGUAAGUGACUCUGAAAGCGUAGUGCCCUGGCCACUUGCAAAAUAUGACGGUGUUUUCGCUUGACCACUCCAUUUUGUUGUAGAGUAUCUGUGCAAGAACGUUAAAAAAUCAUACCAUUCUCAGAAAAGAAAGAAUGUAGGGACAAAAACUCACUACCAUUAUCAGUUCGAAUUUUCUUAAUUUUGUGAUGGAAUUGAGUUUCUACAUAAGAAAAGAAAGUUUUAAUUAACUGUUGUGUUUCAGAUUUAUGUCUCAUCAAAAAGAGCCAAGUGGUUUGAGAAAAAUCAUCAACAAUUGUUAAGAAAUAUCGAGCCCCAUUAUAAGUAGAAAUUUUGUGCGGUCCCCAAAUGUCACAAUGAACAAGCUAAAAAAUGUGUUUACUGGAAAUAUGACUUAAUGGAAAAGGCAAUCUAGUUUGCUUUACUAAUGGGCAAACAUCAUAAGGUUUAUUUGAAUAAGAAUAAGCAUCUAACGAUUGCUUAGCUAAAAGGUGGAGUCGUUGUGGAGAGGGAUGACCAUGACGACGAUGCCAUGAAAUGGAAUUAACGCAACUAGGUGAAGGUGAAGUGGUGCGGUUACUGUUUGGUUUGGUGAGAUAGUAAAGACCUCCACGUUGUCUACCCCAUCCAAUCAUCUUUCUCAUCUUUAAGUCCUGUAAGACACAAAAAUCCGAAAAAAAUGUUAUGGAGCAUUGAAGGGAUUUUGUUAAACGACUAACGGAUGUCAAAUUAACCAAAAAUGAGGCAAUUCGUAAUACGUUAGUCAAUGAAAGUUUGGGAUCAAAAGUAAAAUUGUCAAUACUACUAAUUGAAACCCUUUCACUAGUCAGAAGUUUUCCUGGUGGUAGAGACUUGUUCACAAUAGAGUUUGAUAGGGGAAGCGCUGUAACAUGAUCCGUGGCGCCACUAUCCAUUAUCCAUUCUUGUGAAUGAUGGGAAAACAAACCUGAGAUUGCAUUGGUCUGUGCUUCAGAUGGCAAAUUUCCAGCCAUCAUAGCAAAGAGUUGUUGAAGCUGCUCAGGAGUAAAAGUCAUCGGUGUUGCUAAUGUAGAGGAAGAAGUUGAAGAAGUUGUUGCUUGAACAUGGUUGGUCGCAGGUUUUCCCUCCUUACCACGGCCCUUUCCCUUGUUCUUUUUAUGGAGACGAUGGUCUUCGGGAUAUCCAUGAAGCUGGUAACAAGUCUCCCUGGUGUGGUGGUCCAUGUCACAAUAAUCGCAAUGUAGCAGCUUGCGAUUCCCUUGCUACCACGGCUAUGUUGAUUACCUCGACCACCUUGAACUGCCAUGGUUGCUCCUUCCACACUUGGUUAUGGGAUGGCUGCAAUUCCACGUUGAUUCUCCUCUUGGUUAACCAUUGAAAAAACUUUGAGCACUGAAGGCAAUGGCUUUACAAGCAGAAUCUGACCUCUCACUGCUGCAUAUGAAUCAUCAAGCCCCAUUAAAAAUUGCAUAACCUUAUUUUGCUCCUCUUUCUCGCUACGGUAUUCCAUGGCACCAUAUGAGCAGUUUUUAUGGCUGCCGUAAGAAGAUAAUUCAUCCCAUAAACCCUUCAAUUGGGAAUAAUAGUCAGACACAGACAUCUGAUUUUGAGUGAAGCGUGCAAUAUCACACUGAAUCUCAAAAAUUCGUAGGACGUUGUCUUGUGAAAAAUGAAUCUUGAGGUCCUCCCAAAUAGCAUGUGCAGUUUCUGCAUAAACCACACUGUUUGAUAACCCAUAACUCACAUAAUUUAAAAUCCACAUGAGAACCGUGUCUUUACAGCGCUGCCAAAGAGCAGCUUCAGUUGCUUUCUUGUCUGACGGCUUCUUCACAGACCCAUCAACAAAACCAAAUUUGUUCUUUGCAUUAAGGGCAAUACGCAUUGAAUGAGACCAUGUGCUAUAAUUGUUUCCAGUAAGUAGAGUAGAAACAAGAUGCAUCCCUGGAUUAUUAGAGUGAUGAAUAUAGAAAGGGCUUGAGGGAUCGUUCGACACCUCAACCGACUUGGAGUCUCCCAUGGCAAAAAAAGCGACUUUGCUCACAAGAAAAACCGAAAAAAGGAACGAAGAGAAACCAAGGAAACAAAAAAAAUCCUAGGAUCUUGGACUCUCUGGUAUCAUCUUAAGAAUAGAAUGGCAGUUUGAAUAAUCUUCUGUAUUGAUUCAUUGAAAUAUACAAGCUAGGCUAGAGUUCUUAUACAAACUGUAAAGAUACAAUCACAUCCCGUAAUUCCUACAAAUCAGCUAAGUAAAUAUAUUUACAAAAGGAAAGAAUAAAUCGUUGAUAGUCAAUGAUCACCAUGCUACCAAAUGGGAAGGAAAUCAUUCAUAUCAUAACAGGGGUUGGUCAAAAUAAAUAAUCAGAACAACUUGUUGGAAUAAUGUGCUCUUUCCUUUAUCAUUUGCUUUAUGUCAUGGUUAUCUGCCGAUCUGUGGUCAUUUUUAUGUGUCAUCUUCCUUCUAUUUUCACUUGAUGAUCGGCACUGCAAGGUCAAGCUCAUCUCUGAUGUUCGAACUUGUGAACUACAUAAUACUUCCCCAAAUUAGGGUUUAUCAAUAGUAAAAUAUGUGUGACUUUAACACCACUUGGCAGUGUGAAGUCGCACUGAGAAGAUUAAGUAGAUAAAUACAUGGGUUAUAGUAUGUAAAAUUAUAAUAUCACGUGACAAUGCAACAAUCAUUUUUAAAGGAUUAAGUACAUAAAUACACGUGUAUAAUAUGAAUUAAAAAGAUCAAGUACAUAAAUACAUGUGUAUAAUAUGAAUAUCAUUCAUGUAAGUGUCUCACGUGAGUGGCUUAAAGGAGACAGUUAUUCAUCAUAUAUUCAUUGUUCAUCAUAUGGAUACAAAACAAGGCAGAUAGAUAUUCAUAACGUCAACGCAUUUCAGAUGCUUUCAUCACAUUUGGCACCUUUUACUCGUCUUAUGUUAUGGCCUCCAUUUUAUAUGCCAUAUGUCUUAUGUUAUGCCCUCCAUUUUAUAUGACAUAUUUAUAAGAAAUUGUUAUUGACAUUGUACAUAAUUGUCUUUCCUAUUGACACUGUACAUAAUUGUCUUUCCCUUGCUAUUUAGAGCAUCUUCAAAAUAGAUGUCAAAAUAUCCAAAUUAGCAUUAACAAUCAAAAGAUAGCAACAAUUUUCCAACCGAAAAACCAAAUUUGAUGUGGCAUGAUAUGGAUUGGCAACCAUCAUCCUUGCUGCCCAAAUUAACAGUAACUUCAAAUCUUUUUUUAAUUAAUUAUUGACUGCAUUUUAUUAAUUUCAUUAUUGUUUUUUAUUUCAAAACAUUUAUUAUAACAUUUUAAUAUAAUAAAAUAAUAGCUUAAUUGACACAUCGGGUGGAGAGAAAACCUAAAAGAUGUCAAACUACCAUAUUGACUGUCAAAUUUAAAUUUUAUGUUUAAACUUAGGUAAAUUACAUUUUACCCCCUCUAGUUGAGGUGAACAAAUUUGUUGGAAUUUUGGAUUGACGGGCGGAGGCGCUCCACUCUAACAAUACUAAUAUUGUUCCCAACUUAGCAAUUACUACCUACCCAAUCCGUCAGGUGUGGGGACAUGAGUAUAAGUUAAAGUGAGAUAAUUAUAUUUAAACUCAUUAUUUCUCUUUCCCAUGUGGGAUAGUCAACAAAAAUAGAUGUUAAGUAAUGACGUGCUAAUAAUAUGUUCCUCAUUUAUGCUGACGUGACCGACUACCAACUUGUGCCACAUAACCAUUAAAUUAAAAGACUUUUCGACUAGAAAAAUGAUCUUCGAAAUGCAUCCUUCUUUAAUCUCUGAAAAUAUAAUUUAUCCUUUAAAAUUUAGCAUCUCUUUUUGAAGAUGCUGCUAAGAAAACUACAAAUGGAUGGAUGUAUGCAUGUGAGCAGCCCCAACGACCCUCCACUCCAAUUUUAAAUUCUUCCAUCAAUUGUUGGGGUGCUAUAUAAUAAGAAGUAAAGAACCACAAGCUGGAGUUUGCAGACUGAAUCUAAAUCCUUCGGUUUUAACACUAAGAAGUCAUAACAUGGUGGUGAAGGUGUAUGGGCCUCUGUACGCCGCCCCAAAGCGUGUGCUGGUAUGCCUUGUUGAGAAAGAGGUUGACUUUGAGACAGUCCCCAUUGAUCUUCUCAAGGGAGAGAACAAACACCCUGAUUUCCUCAAGUUACAGGUUAGCUAAUUAGUUACCUCUUAAUGCAAUUGUUUCUGAUUAGUGAUUGUUUUACUCAUGGUAUGAAUUGAGAUGGUCUUUUGUAAAUAUGUAAUUAUUUCUUUAUUUUCCGAUCGUGACAAAAGAAACACUUAUUCUUUCUUCAACAAUUUAUGCUUUUAGUGGACUUCUCAAUAGGAUUUAAACCCAGAUGAAGUUCUGAUCAUCUGUUAGAGAAAAAAGAAUGAAUAAGUAUGUAAAUUAUUUACUUGUACAUUGGUUUUGUAUUGGUUUGUCUUUAAUUGCAGCCAUUUGGAACAGUUCCUCUCAUUCAAGAUGGGGAUUAUACUCUAUAUGGUAUGCUAUGCUUUCUUUCUAGCACUUGAUCUUUUAGUUUUUAUUAUUUAUAUUGAGGGUAAAUUACACAAAACUAUCUUAACUAUUGGGUCAACUACAGUUUCAUACCCCAUCUUUAAAAAAUUUCAAUGUCAUACCUUAUCUACGAAUUUAUUGUAAUGUCAUACAUUCCGUUAGUUUGUCUGUCAAUUCCUCCGUUAAAUGCUGACGUGGCUUAAAAAAUUUAAUUAAAUAUUAAAAACUAAAAAAAUAAAAUCAUUUAAUUUUUUUCUUUGCAUGGGGGACCCAAGGGAUGGGCAAAAUACUCAUGGGUUUGGGUAACAGCGGUUACCCGUCUAUUUAAAGUUCACAUUUACGAUUAUGGGUAACCGUUUGGACGAACAAAUGGUUAUGGCUAUAACCGUUUAUCCGUGAAAUUUAAAUGGGCGAUUAUGAGUAUUAUCCGCGGUUAUAACGGGUAUCCAUCGGUUAUGGGCAUUACUUACGGUUAUAACGGAUACCCAUUUACCCAUUUAAUUUAAUAUAUGUAAAAUUUAAAAACUAUUGAGCGAACUCUAAAAUUAGUAGGACUAUUGAGCAAACUCUAAAAUACAUGCGUAAUCAUUGUGUUCUUCUUGAAAACCGCCUACUCCAGCUUUGCGCAUAUCAUGUCAAACGUUCCAUUGCUCAUCUGAAACGCCUUUCGAAACUCCUCCUUCGAAACGUCUGGGUGGCCUAAAUUCUCCCACCACACCUUGGACCUGACCUUCACCCAAAGCCUCAUGUGUGGAUCCGAAAUCGUAGCACUCAAAAAUUAGUAGGACUAUUGAGCGAACUCUAAAAUACACGUGUAAUGAUUAUGCGUGUUUUGAAUAAUCUAGUAUUCAAGAUAAUGACUACUUUUUGUUUUUAUAAACUUUACUUUGUAAUCAUAUGGAUUAUAAUUAAAAACUUGCUUGGAUGUAGCAGAAAAAUAUCGUUCAUAAACUUUAAUUUCAAUUAUUGGAAUUGUAUGAGGACUGAAAUGUUUAAAAUAGGGAAAUGCAUGCUAAAAUUUACCUAUAACGGUGUUUAAUUGUCAGAAAACAAAAAUUAUGACAAAUUUUUCUUUUUUAAUUUUCAAGUUGUUAAAAAAAAAAAACAUGUAAACAGGUGAAAAAAGGAGUAAAUGGGUAAAAAAAGGAUAAAUGGGUUCAAAAACGGAUAAAUAGUUAUAGUUAAAUAGGUAAACGGUUAUAGUUAAAUGGGUACACGGUUAUGGGUAUGAUUAACUGUUUAUAUACAGUUAUAGGUAUGAGUAUAACUGUUUAUGCAAUUACCCAACGGGUAAAUGGUUAUGCGAGUAUGAACAUAAAUGGUUAUAGGUAAAUAACCGCGGUUACACGCCCACCGUAACGUUGCCCAUCCCUAGACCCAGCCUUUAUCCCCCUCACCUUUCUUCCCCGCCCCAACCCAAACCUAGAUCCCACCCGCUCCGAUUUUCCCCCAAGCCACCCCCCAAACUAAUCACCCUCAACCUUCUUCCCCAUCUUUCUCCCCUGAACUCAUCACCCUCACCCUUAUACUUUCUCUCUAAAAUCCACUCCCUUUCUCUCUGUAAAAUUUCCAUACCAAAAUUAACGGCAUAUUCCUCUCUCUCUCUCUCUCUGUUCUUCCUCCCAAAUUUUCUCGGAAAAUCCUUCAUUGCAAACCCAAGAACCCAUCAGAAACGUUUAUUUUCCCGGGAACCAAUUAGCCCCCAAAGAAAUUUUUUGAUUCAAAUUAAGGGUUGCUUUCCCAAAUUUUUUGAUUCACUGCAAACCCAAGAACCCAUCAGUGAGUAGGGACUGAUUCAAAAGAAUGCUGGUGAAGAUUAUGAGGUGGUGACCAUGGCUGCAUCUGACGAUGAGGUGAGGCUAGUGUACAGAGGUUGGAGGGUUAGGAUCUGGUGAGGGAGGGUGCAGGCGGGGGCCGGUCCACAAGACAGAAAAAGAGGAGAAGUGGACGGCGGAGAUUAGGUGGAAGGGAUCCAAGGUCAAGGUUGGGACCAAUGAGGCUGCUGUUGCAGUGUGAAAGGGAGAGAGAAUACGGGAGGAAAGGGGAGAGAGAGAGGGGAAGGAUGGUUCUGGGCACAACAAGGGAGUGAAGUGGGGGAGGAAGGUGGGUGAGGUUGGUUUUUAUUAGGGUGCCAUGCAAAAAAAAUAUUAAAUGAUUUUAUUUAUUUUUAGUUUUUAAUAUUUAAUUAUGUUUUUUAAGUCACGUCAGCAUUUAACGGAGGAAUUGACAGACAAACUGACGGAAUGUAUGACAUUGCAACAAAUUCGUACAUAAGGUAUGACAUAAGAUGAGGUAUGAAACUAUGGUUGACCCAAUAAUUGAGGUAAUUUUAUGUAAUUUACUCUUAUUCUGAUACAAAUGAUAGUGGGCUAUGAAAUCUCAAUUGCAUUGGUGAAUAUUCGUAAUUGAGUAACAACUAUUUUUGCUAGCACAUGAUAUAUUUUACUUUUGGGUCCAAAUUUAUCGUCUUUUGAGAAUUUCCUUAGCAUCAGAUUGACAUUACAAUACACUUGCUCAUUGGUUUCUUAACAUCACCAAUACAAUGAUCUAACAAGUUGUUUAAGAAUGUAAAGUUGCACGUACCAAAUAAAAUACAACACAUAACUAGUGAUUCCACUACUAAUAGAACUUGCUUGAAAGGUGUUCGAUGAAAUGCCUGAACUGAUCACCAAUACAAUGAUCUAACAAGUUGCUUACUAAGAAUGUAAAGUUGCACAUCGGAAACCUGAACAAAUAAAAUACAACACAUAAUUAGUGAUUCCACUACUAAUAGAACCGAAUUUUUUUAUUUUUAUUUUUAUUUUUUUGAGAUAAAACUCCACUGGUCCGUCUUUCUGAAAUCUUACCAAUUGUUUGAUUAAAUUGUCUUCGAUCUGCAGAAUCACGUGCAAUCAUGAGGUACUACGCAGAAAAAUAUAAGUCACAAGGGACUGAUUUGCUGGGAAAGACAAUUGAGGAAAGAGGGCUUGUGGAACAAUGGCUGGAAGUUGAAGCACACAACUUCCAGCCACCAAUCUACAACUUGGUCGUUCACAUUCUCUUUUCCCCAGUUUUGGGUUUUCCUUCAGACCCCAAGAUCUUACAAGAGAGUGAAGAAAAGCUGGGAAAAGUGCUGGACAUUUACGAGGAGCAACUGUCGAAAUGCAAGUACUUGGCCGGUGAUUUCUUCAGCCUUGCUGAUCUUAGCCACCUUCCAUUCACUCACUUCUUGGUGGCUAAUAUGGGGAAGGAGUAUAUGAUCAGGGACAGAAAGCAUGUCUCUGCAUGGUGGGAUGACAUUAGCAACAGACCAUCUUGGAAGAGGGUCCUACAGUUUGGUGACCCAUUUUAAGGUUGAUGUACCUCUGGAAGAAAAAUUGUGUACUACGGGUGUGUACAAUUGUUUUUCUUGCAGUGAUGACGUGUUGUGUAUGAAACAUUAUUGUGAGAAGAAUGUUAAAUUCUCGUGUAGUUUAUAUAACUAUUGUACCCUGGAGUUGGGCAAAAUAAAUAAUCAGAACAGCUUGUUGGAAUAAUGUGCUAUCUCCUUGAUCAUUUGCUUUAUGUCAUGGCUUGUGAGAUGUUUUUUAUUUCUCUGUAAGACGUAUUCGACCUUCCAUUUGCUAAUUGGCUGAUCUUUGAUCGUUUUUCUGCUUCAUCUUCCUUCUAUUUUUUUGUUUCUGGUUUUUUCAGUAGUCCUCAUCUGUGAUGCCCGAACUUGUGAACUACAGGGUUGAUACCUCUCCAAAUUAGGAGUAGCAAAAAAUAGAGUACUGCAAUAUGCAUGACUUUAAUGUCACGUGACAGUAUGAUAAUCACAUUAAAAAGAUCAAGUAAAAAAUACACGUGUAAAUAUGUAUAAUUAUGGCAUUAUAUGACGGUGUGACAGACUCACUGAAAAAAAAAUCUACAAACUUAAGAGCUUAGUUUUGCUAGAAAGGGUCAUGCUUGUACCUUGUAGGUUUAUGGGCCUUCUUCAGGCUGAAUUUGUUGUUAAUUUUAAUUGCUUUUGAAAACCUCAUUAGUUUUGUGAAUGUUUGAUAUCAGAUCGUUACGAAAAAAGCUAAACAAAAUUGUUUAUAUUAAUUUUCCAAAAAAAAAUUGUUUAUAUUAAUACACUAAAGAUUGUAUGAUACUGAUCAAAAUCAAAUUACAAACAUGUACAUCUAUUAUAUUUGGACCGUGAGCUUUGCAUAUACGUUAAAGAACAAUGUUCGACUCUUUAUAUAUAAAGAGUAUUUUGAAACGUGUAACUUAUUAAACUCACAUAAAAAGUUAGGUUUUUAUCAUAAAUGGUCCUUAAAAUUGACCCACCCUAUCAAGAUGGUACCUGAAAUUGAAAAUCAAUCAAUUUGAUCCUUGAAAAUGGAUAUCGCAAAUCAAUAUGGUCAUUCCGUCACAAAUCUGUCAAAAUUCUAUCAUGUACUAAUGUGGCACAUAACUGGAUCCCAUAAGUCUAAUUGAAUAUUGACAUUUGGAUUAAAAAUUAUUAAUAAUAAAUAUCUUUUUUGUUGGGUUAUUUUAUUCACACCCUACAUUUUGUUGAUUACACUUCACAUACUUAAUAAACCCCACUUUUACUUUUUGAACUAAAAUUUAUCUUAAUAUACCCCACAUUUUUUCCAAUACUACCCUCACACCCAACAUACACAAUAAUAAGACACCUAACGCUCAAACUCUUUGUCAAUAUUUAGGUUUAUGUCAAUUGAGUGUUUAGUUUUUUGUCAAUUAGGGAUUUUAGAUUUCGUAUUUGAAGAAAUUGGAUCAAAAGCAUCGAAUGCAAACCAAGUUCUGCAAAAAAUAGAAUAAAGCCUUUGUAAUCUUAGCAAGUGAAUUCAAAAGGUUGUUCAAGAGAAUUUCGGAAGUGUCCAUCAUCAAUUCAUCAUCAAGCCAUCACAUUGAAGACUAUUACUUCUAUUGGCUCGAGUAAGGAGAAAUAAUGUGACAAGUUGCCCUAAGUCGCUUCAUGAGGUUUUCAAUAUUUAUUUUCUGUAUACGAUCAAUAGGCAACAGCAAACUCCAUCAUAUCAAAAGCAAACCAGUUCAAUUUUCUAUGAAGUGAAUUUUGCCAAUCGAAUGAAAUAUUAUAAACAUAAACUGAUAUGUGAUAAAUGACAUUGCAAUGAAUUGUAUCGUUGAGUUCAACAUCGGGUGAGAGUGACUUCGAGAGCUUGAAGAAAAUAAUAUACACUAACCUGUGCACAAAAUGAAUGGAAUUUGCUUUGCAGCCAUAAAAAAUUCAAUUCGUUAAUUGAAUCUCCAACAUAUCAUUUUGUUGAAUCUUUUAGAAGGAUUAACACAAAACGAAUGGAAUGUUUUAUUGGCUGCGCAGGCCUUAAGGUUUUAACAGACAUGGUUGGAGAGAGGAAGCAACAGCCCACAAAGUUUGCAAUCCGAGCAGAAAGAAAAAACCAAGGAUAACAAUGUUUUAUCAUGGUUUCGUUGUUUUUGGCACCCAGAAAGUUAGGCUGUGGGAAAUCAAAUGUCUUCUGAUAAAUAUAUACCCACCUAAUUAAGUACAACCAUGCAUGCACAACGAACACCAAUGCUUCCUGAUAAGAGAUUUUACCACACAUGCACAAGGGUUAAAAACUCCUAUAUUACUUGUAAGAAUGACAAGGUUAUUGUAGUAUAAACGGUUCUCGCAAGGUCGUUCUCCAUAAGGAUUAUUAAAUAAUUAGAAGCAAAUCAAAUUCCAAUUAAUUAUUAUAAAGGAGAAAGUUGAGAUGAUUGAUUUUUUAUGACCUAAUUUAAUAAAACGAAUUUAACUAAUAAAAAUAAGACAAUCUGCAAUAUUAAAGCUGAAGGGAAAGAAAACAGUUUUGUAGAAAUCAAAUUAAGGAAACACUAGGGAUCUGCUGUCACCUUAACAAUCCUAUAUAGUUUGUCCAAUUACUUAUAACCUAUACAUGCAUAUUUCGAAGGUUAGGUGUUCUUAAUAUAUGCCUACUUGGACCCCCAACAUAGAACGUAUAUCAAACAUGCAAUCCAUCUGUGGUAUUCAGAUCAAAUCUAAACAUGCACACCUCAUUAAGUUUUGUAAAACUUUUUGAAAAACCAUGCAACCUUUAAGACGUGGUAUUCAUCUUAAGUGAACUUGCACAUAUUAACCACAAGAAGCCUUCGUCAAUUUCAGGGAUCGACCUCCGACCAAAAUUGCAUCAAAUUACUUUUCUAAACAUCCUAAUGGUGAUCAAGCAUCAAGACAAAUAGAUAGUUUAAACCAGUGCUUAAUAAUUUGAAAACCUGCAUGCAUAUAAUCAUAAGCAAAUUGAAGAGAAACUACAUAUUCUCGUUAAGGCUCAUGGUCUCACCCUAACAAAAAGAGAAUUAGUUAUACAUAUUCAUAAUAAAAAUCAUAAAGUUCUUUAUUGAAAUAAUAAAAGAUCAAAAACACUUAGAAUGGAAGUAGUCUGAAAAUCUCUACGAUUGGCCAAUUUCCUCUCUUCAAGAAUGCACGAAGAAGUUACAAGAAUAAAGCCGCCCAAACUUAUUUAACCUAGCAGAAAUUAAAUUCUCCUAAUAAAAGGUCUUCCAAUCGAACUAGGAAACUAAAUAACUAAAAUAAAAUAGAAAACAUAACCCUAAAUUAAAUGGUAAAAUUCACCUAAAAUAUGAACAGCCACGUUUUAGACCACUAAACUGCUCCAAAACCGUCCCAAUACAGCUGGGUUUAAAGUUUGGAAUAUUCUGAACAUUUUUCCAGAAGGUCACGAACCCAUCAAAGGUCAUCUCGGGCUUCAAAAACUCAAUUUAAGCUCAGAAACGUCAUUUUCGAACACUGCACACUGCUUCUUUAUUCCGUCGCCAGAAAAUAACCGUUUGGUAGAAAAAUUCUAAACUUCGAUAUCAACACUCCAAGAGACACACGAACAUCCUUCAAUUUGAAUCACUCUAAAAUUCGUCCGUUUGAUCAUGUUUUGCUCCAGAGGAAGUCAAAUAUCCUAUAUUGAAAAUAUAAAUCAAAGUAUCAAAAUUCUAUCAAAAUAAUUACCAAAACACACUAAGAAUAGGGUAAAAUAUAUAAUAUGAAAUUGACUCAUCACUUCCAAAACCCGAACCUAAAACCUCGUUAUCACAAACACACAACACAACAUAAGGACAUCAGAAGCAACGGCGAAGCAUCUAUUCAUCUUCUUUCUUCUUUUUUUUCCUUUUUCUUUAAGUUUUAUAUUAUGCAAAAAUAAAAAUUAUUAUUUAAUUGUGUAAUUAUUUUUAAUUCAAAUGUCAACAUUUAAUUAGAAUUGUGGAACCUAGGGCUGGGCACGGGCCAGGCCGAGCCCAAUUUUAAAGGAACCGAACCUUACCCGUUUUAAACAGUAACAAGGCGAGCCGGACCAGGUAGAGGGUUUUUAAGUUUGGGAACCGGGCUGGUUUAAGAUGGGUCCACGGGUCUAAUUAACCUUUUUUUUUCUUUUCCGGUUUUGAUACAGAGCUCUAGAACGUUCCACAGUUCUAGAUUGCUCCUACUGCCAACGAAAUUGACGGCUUGGAAGCUACCCGCACCAGCAGCUGAACCACUGGUGGUGAAUCGGUGAAGGUGGUGGUCCUCAUCUCUCCUAAUCCCAAAUCAAGGUCUCUGUCUCUUGACUCCGAUCGACGAGCAUGGCGCGAGGCUCCAAUCUGACUCAGAUCGACGAUGGUAGUCCUUUGUAUGUACUCAGUGAACCAAACCCUGUUGGCGGACACGCCGCUGGCUGCGAUGAGCUUUUGGGUGUCGAGCACCAUGAUUCUGUAUGCUUUGCACGACGGCGAAGCCAUCGCCUACCAAACCGAAGAUGAAUUCCAUAUCCUUAUGAUAAAAGGCAGAAAGUCCUAAUUUUUAAUUAUAUUUUCCACUAAGAUGAAACCUUUUGUCAAAAAUGUGGACGUAGGGGCAAUGCCUUUGUGUUCUUUGAAUGGGUAUUUCAGAAUCUAAUUAAUCUCCUAGGUUUUUUGAAUUUUGGUGCUCUAUCUAGAUCGGUUCUGUAGAAGUCUCGAAGCAAUCGGCGCAAUGAAUUCGAGGGUGGGAGGGAGAAGAGAAUGAGGAAUAGGUGGUGCCGUCGAGGGAGCUGAGCCAUUGUGGUGGUGGAGGAGAUGACUCGAGUGGGAGUCUGGUCUAAGUCUAGGAAGGAAAGGGACGAUGGGAUGGAAUGGAUAAUGGAUUAGGUUUAGAGAAUUAGUAAAUGGGUUAUAGUUAGAAACGGGCCAUCUGGGGCCCCGUUAUUCCAAAUCCUAAGACUCGACCUGCCCCUUAAAUAUUAUGGAUCCGCCCUGCCCCGUCCCAUUUCUAUUCUCAAAAAAUUGAAACCGGCCUAUACCCGCCCCAAACCUUGAUUACCCGCCUCGACCCUCGGUUCUUGUACCCGUUUGCCCUAUGUGCCACAUCAGCACAUAACAUAAUUUUUGACAAAUUUGUCACGGAAUGACUACAUUGAUUUAUGAUAUCCAUUUUUAAGGAUCAUUUUGAUUGAUUUUCAAUUUCAGGGACCAUCUUAAUGGAAUAGUCAAUUUCAACGACCAUUUGUGAUAAAAACCUUAAAAUUUUUUUGCAUACAUGUCAAAUUAUAAUUUUUCUGUUAAACCUUAGCCAGAUGCGACUAGUCAGCCUUACGAACUCGAGAAUUCUUGUAGCAGUUGUACGUGGCACUGAGAUCUUUGUCGUGCAUCUAUCGACUUGAAACGUAACACAAAAAAAUGAUGAUGGUCAAACUGAUCAAGCGGCAGUAAUAUUAGAAGUCUUGUUUAAUUGUUUACAUUUUGAAUAAGAUUAAAUGAACCAGCAGGUAUGUUGCCCACAAUACAAGAAAUGCCUUUUCAUGAAGUUUACCAUUGGGAGCUAUUCACCAUCUGGUUUUUCCAAUGAGAUAUAACGACUUUGUGUGUUGUGAUCACUGUUUAAAAGUCUCGCCUAGGCCUUGCUUAGGUGUUAGGUGCUAAGCUACUAUUACGAUUAAGCAUUAGACGUUUAAAAAAUAAAAAUUGGCACCUAGAUUUGCUUAGGCACCUACCUAGUAAAACGCCUAGGUCAUGACUCUCAUUUAGACAGAAAAUAGAUAAUUUUCCUUUUGCAUUUUAUUUUUGAAGAAAUUAGGUUCCCUUCAUUUAUUUUUUCUUACUCCAUUGAUUAAAACCUUAUUCCUUUUCAACUUUUGAUUAAGAUCCUUAGGUUUUAAUGAAUGUCAUUAUUUCAAUAAUAAAAUAUUUACAUGUCAAGAUAAUUAAAUUUUGUUACUAAAUAUAUUCAUUUAGUGUUAGAAACGUUACAUUUGGUAUGUUUAUAUUUAUGACUAAAGUUUGUAUCAUAUAUUUCUAUUUUUAGUUUGUACCCAUUUUUAAUUUGCAACCAUUUUUUUAAUUUGUACCAUUUUUCUUUAUAGUUUUAAAUUGUACCCAUAUAUUAAUUUUUUUGUUCCCAUAUUUUUAAAUUUUUAUUUGUAAUCAUAAUUUUUUUCCUAUUUUAUUAGUGCCUAUAAUUUAUUUAUUGUCACAUCCCAGCCCUGGCCCCCACCAUAUCCCAUGACACACCCCGACCGAGAUCAAGGCAUGCUGGCCGUCACGUGAGGGUGACGUAGCCAUGUGCGCAGUGCGGAAGCAAUUAAGAUAAGAAAUAUACGGAUAUUAAAAAACCGAAACUACUAGAGUGCACUAUAAAGCAUGAAGUGAUAAGAGUUAGUUACAAAAGUAAAUACUCCUAAUCGGAGCAUAAUAAUCCUAGGUGCAGUCCAGUAGGACAAGUACUAGUUAUACAAUACCAGAAAUGUCCUAUUAUUAUUUAGAUAUGUUAGAAACGCCGAAGUCCUCGAACCCAGCAACAGCAAGCUUAUCGAAAACCUGGAGGGGCGCAAAACAGAAAACGUGAGUGGGCAAAAACAAAUGUUUUACAAAACCAUUUCAUUUAUCAACAUAUCUAACCCUUCACUAUAAAACAUGUAUAAUUUUUCCCAGAAUCAAGAUAUAUGCAUAUACAUAAAUAUAUAUAUAUAUAUAUAUAAUUAUAUCAAUUCAAACCAUGCUUCACAUAAUCAUUUUCAUAAGUAUGCCAUGCCAAAAUAUAACAGAGUAAGCAAUUCAAGUAAGAAUAAUUUCAUAGAAAUAUAACAUGUUAGUCGGAACCCUUGUGGUAAUCUGUACGGCUGAAUUCAUAGCUCAAAAGUCAAUCUAGCCGGAGUCAAUACAAUGACCUAUACGGCAACAUACUGCACAAGAGUCAGAGCCAAAUGAAAAGGUCUGUACGACAAUAAUGGGUGUAAUAUAAUCAUGCUCAACACUACUCUCACAUAAUAGUUGGGCGAUAAAUCGCUAGUCACCUACGAGUCGGAACCAUAAAUAAGGUCUGUACGACAAGGCUAUGCACCUAAAUUGGAUCCAAUAUGAGCAUAUGGUGCGGGAGGUGACAUACUAAACAGGCUUGUGCCAAAUCUCUGGCUAAAUCACAAUCACCCUAGGUGCAGUUUUAUGAGUUCAACAUUAUUCAAUCACAUAUCGCAUCAUUGACAAUUCGCAUAACCCAAUAUAACUCACCUGAGCUUAACUGAGCGUCCACAACACCACACACACACACACACACACACAUAUAAAGCAUCAUAUACUAAUUCAUAUGCUGAAUAUAAAUUUAUAUGCAUGGCAUUUCAAAGCAUACUUUCAUUUAAAUGCAUUUUCUGGGAAAAUAUCAAGUAUAUAAGUAUAUACUGAAAACCAAAAGCCCACUCACUGGUAUGUCGAAGGAUCGUAGCCCCCGAGUCACCCUUGAAUGCGCUCGUCCUCGGGAUAAGUCUCACCUAUAUGCGAAUUAACUAUAAAAAUGUUAUUUUAGAGCACAUACACAAAACUAGUUAAUAACUUCUCAUACAAUGCUCAAUUUUGGUAUUUGAAUAUACCACAGUGACCUACACAACCUCAGGAUCAUCUCCAAAUUUUUAGAAUAAUUCUUGGACCCCUCAAGCGCCGCCAAGGCCACGGCCCUACGCGCCCCCACGCGCGGCCACGUGACAAGCAUACUGACGACAUCAGUCAACACCGUCAGGAAUAUUCUAGGGAAUAUUCCAUUAAAAUCCAACGGUAAUUGUUAAAGAUGACUGACGGCGUUAGCUUAUUCCGUCAACCUUGACGGAAGAUACUCCUUUCUUCUCCGGCGACUUCGCUGGUUUCUAGGUAAAACUUUAAAACCACUAUUCUCUUUCGUUUCUUCACCAUUUUCCACAAAAUUGGUACCAAAAUGAAGCUAAUAGCAUGCAAAAUCACGUUAUACAAGUUUCAAGGCUUAAAAUCUACUAGGUUUUCCUCGAGAAAGCUUGAUAGUUCGGCUUACCUAGAUAUACAUCGAUCUCAGCCUUCCGAUGUCCAAUUUCUUCCAACGAAGUACCCUGAGACUCGUGAGGACCUCCUUAAGCUUCCUAUAAACUUCAAAUUCCCUUAAAUACAAGAUUUCACGUAUACAUGAACAGUGGCAAAAUCGGAGCUAGGGUUUCCACGUGAAAUCGAAGGUUCCCUUACCUGAAAAUGGUAUUUUUAAACUCGUAUGGUCCUCACGAACACAAUGAUGAUCUUAAAACCUUUGAUCUACAAGGUUUGAGAGGGUUUCUGGGUUGGUCCGUAUGAAAAAGGGAGAAAGAGAGUGAGAGUCUGAGAGAGAAAGAGCACGGGAAGGAGAGAGAGAAAAGGUGGGAGUGUGUGUGUGGUCCAAAAGUCACCAAUCUAAACUAAGAGAAACACUUAGUUCUCAUUGGGUCAAAUAAUAGAGGAAUAAUGCAAGUUUGAACCCCCUUAAUAUGCAUAACACACACCACAAUACUUGGAUAUAACUGUCAUUUCAUUUCGUCGAAAAUUAAAUAUUCGGAACGGGUUGUGACAUCCCAGGCUCGACUCUGCCGUAGCACAAUAUUGUCCGUUUUGGGCCCCGACCACACCCUCACGGUUUUGUUUCUAGGAACUCACACGAGAACUUCCCAGUGGGUCACCCUUCUUGGGAUUGCUCUCGCGCGAACUCGCUUAACUUUAGAGUUCCGAUGGAACCCCAAGCCAACGAGCUCCCAAAAUGCCUCGUGCUAGGUAGAGAUAUGAAUAUACAUAUAAGGCUUACAUGAUCCUCACCCCUAGGCGAUGUGGGAUCUUACAAUCCACCCCCCUUAGGGGCCCGAUGUCCUCGUCAGCACACUUCUGGUUAAGGAUUGGCUCUAAUACCAAACUGACACACCCAGCCAGGACGCCUCGAUUUGGGUCGGGGUGUGUCAUUUAUAAUGUGCCUAUGUAUCUUUAAAAAUGUACCACUUGUUAUAUGUAAAAUUUACCAAUUUUUUAAUUUAAAAUGUAUCCAUUGUUGUUUAUAUAAAAUGUACGCAUUGUUUUCUAUAUAAAAUGUACCCAUGUUUUUAAUAUAAAAUUUCCCCAUUUUGUGUAUAAAAUGAACCCACAUUUUUUAAUUUAUAAUUAAGUGCGCCAUUGUACUCAUACAAUUAUACGGGUACAUUUUUUUUCAAACAUUUUUAUGGGUUACAUAUUAAAACAUUUUAGUUUUGGAACAAUGUUGAAAUUGUACUCCAUAGAUAAUUAUAUAUAGCCAAUGUACGGGUACAUUCUUUUAACAUGUGACAACUAUUUUAUCAUUCAUAACAAUGUUUUCUUUUGGUCAAAUUCAUAACAAUGUUGGAUACAUUCUUUUGGCACUUUUUUUAAACAUUGUUUCCAAUCGAUUGAUACAUAUAUAUGCGAACAUGUACUUAACAUUUAUUAAUAUACAUUUUCAUAAGAAAUUAUAUUGUUAUAUUGAUAUUAAUCAAUCAAAAUUUUGAAAAAAUUUCCAUAUUUUUUGUUGGCCCUUUUAUUUUAUAGCUCAUCAGAUGUGAGAUUUUAAAUACCAUAAAAUCUCAAGCUUUAUUGUUGACAUGGAAAUAUAUUAAUAUUAAUAUGUUGAGGUGUACAAAGUUAAAGGACUUUGAUCAAAAAUUGACAACCACUAAGGUUUUAAUCAAUGAGUAUUAGUGGCUAGGGACCGCAUCCAAAGUCUCUAUUUAUUUUUUCAAUAAAUUGUAUGAGACUUGUUGGAUAGUUAGACAAACACUCAUUAUAUACUUGUUUCUCAUGUUUCCAAUAUGUUCUAGUACUUUAUAAUUUAUAUAUUAUUUCUAUUUUGCAUAUAUGUGUGACAACUCGUCUCUAAUUUUACGGUUUUAUUAAUUUUAAAAGAUAUUUACAGCAAUGAGUAGUAUUAUGUCGACGUAAAUUAUCGAUUAUUGUUUUAUGAUUCUAUUCACGUUAUCUGCUCAUCGUGUGCUACAUUGGUGUUAGUACUCACUCAGGUCAGGGCUAAUCUUUCACGUGUAUGUUCACAUUGCAUAAUACGCUCACUUUGGAUCCAUUGUAGGUGCCAAUCAUGUUCUAGAUUGCUAUAGGUAAUUAGGACUCGUAUGUGAUGCACAUAGUACCAGUCUUCACGUAAUUGUAGUACUAGAGCUUAAAUCAUUAUUACACCCAGUCUUGUUCAUGUCAGAAUACCUCUGCAUGAACUCGUGUCAGCAUAUGUUUAUGAGCACUCAAUGUGAUAUGUUUAUUUCUGCGAGAUAUUAUGAUUACUGGAAGUUAUAUGCCUAUUUACGAAAUUUGUGACGAGUUGAAUUCUUGAGAUAUUGCAAGAUACGGUAAGUAUUUUCAUACUAUACGUAGUAUGAAUAUUUUGAAAACUAUUCUUGUUUUACGACGAGGGGUUAUAAUGUUUUCAAAAAUGUUUUUAUAAAACUUUAUUUUUAGGCCUACUCACCCUUGUUUUUCGCCCCUCCAGGUUUUAGUGCUGAGCUUUCGUGUCGACGAGGAUUCUUGGCAAACUUUGAUAUAUGUGAUUACCUUCGACGGAUUAAUUCUUAUCCUACUUUUACUGUACUUUACUUAUGCUCUGACAUCACGUGUGAAUUGGGUUUAUUCCCGCUCACAAACGCACUCAUACAUUUAGGUACUUUUAGGUUUAAAUUUAUUCACAUUUUCCAUAUCACUACACUUUAUGGCUUCGCCACCCUCCUGGUGUCGACUAGCACAGCUCGAUUCGGAGUCCAGGUGGACAUUCCGGGUCAGGGUGUAUCAGUUUGGUAUCUGAGCAUAAGUUUGGAUAGUAUUACUUUCAUCACUCCUUUAAAAUAAUAAAACUGUAAAAUUAGUGACGAGUUGUCACAUAUGUAUUCCAGUACAACUGCGUAUUUUUUUUAAAGUAUAAAUAGAAAUUUUUUUGUACGUUAUAUAAUAAAUUUAAUUAAAAAUUAAAAAAAAAGACCUAAGCCCCCCCCCCCAAAAAAAAAUCCCAGGCGCUAGAUUCCUGUCUACCACCCGAUUAGUGUGCCUUUUAGAACUUUAGUUGUGACCAAUACAUGAGUGUUAAAUUCCCACUUUAGGGUUUCAAAGGGUGGAAAAAAUGGUGGUAACAAAAAAACAUGGUCAGAUAGUUUUUUUAGCCCGGUCCACUAAUAAUUGUUAGGGAGCACAAGUACAAAAAAACACUUUGCUAUGCAGGUCCUUCGUCGCGCAAAGUUAAAAAAACGUUGCCCAAAAAUUAGCACAACGAAACUUUCGUCGCGCGCCAACUGUCACGCCAAGACAGUUACAACAGGGUUUGUGUGACAAAAAAGUAACAUGCCUUGCACAAAACUACUUUGCAUGACAGACAACCUACGUCGUGCAAACCCUUUCUUUUUUUUGGCAAAAAUAUUUUUUUAUUUAAUUUUUUUAUUUAUAAUUAUUGUAAUUAAAUUAUAAAUAAUAAUUAAUAAACCAAUAAAAAAUAUUUAAUUAUAAAAUAUAUGAAAAUGUACAUACAAGAUGUUCGAACAAAAAAGAAAAAACUACAAGAAGUAGUCUUCUACGUUUGAUACAUCAAGCUACUAAAUAUCGACUGGGCGAAGUGGCUGGGAGGUCGAAGGUGGAGCAAGAUCAGAUGCUGGCAUCGGGAUUUGAAGGCCAGACAUCUGUAAAGCUCGUAAGAUCAUACUCAUCUUAUCGUCUUGGGCCGAUAACUAGGCUGCAAUCUCAGCUUCCCGGAUUGCUUCUUGGGCCGCAAGCUGACCUUUUAGGGUUGCCACUUCCUCCGUCAAGGCUGACCUGUCCUAUGGUCGAUCUGGAAAAGGAGGCACCCGUCUCACGAACCCGCGCAUUCCCUGUACACCGAAAAAACUUAAAUUUAGGACAUGUAAAUCAGACCCGUCAAAUUUAGGAAAACAAAUAGAUGAUAACAAUGAAUUAUGAUACAAACUGUCAAAUCUCUACUCUUCCCAUAUACAUUUUGUCCAUAUAAUUUCCGUCACUUUAUCCGAGGCGUGCAUCAAGUACAGAUAAUUCAUAAAUCAAUGAUUUGAAACCAAAGUGAGGAAAUAAAGUGCAUGUGUUUUCCACUAUAACAAGAAAACAGCUCAAUGAAAAAUACGAACAUUGAUGAUAGAAUGUAGUAUAAAUAGAGCAUGUAUAAUAAGUUAAUAACUGAUUGCAAACACGAAAAAAUUAUGACUUACAUGGGUACCGUCACGACCAGUUAAGGGAGAGUCAUUGACACCAAAAGUCAUGGGCACAGUUGAUCACCUACACCGUCAUCACAUAACAAUAACACCAAAAACCACAGAAGGUUCCACAUUGCGGAGAGUUUUUUGGUUUUUGAUUCUCAAAAUGGUAUAUCAUAUGGUCCAGUAGUAAGCUCCAAAGACACAAGUGCAAAUGAAUUAUGCAACUACCACGUUUUUCAAUAGCUACUUUCUAAGUGUCAUCAACACCAACAGUUUUAGUUACACAUACACACACAUGAAAUGGAAAUCCUACGAUAGGGUUUAAUAUAAAUUGAGCUAUAGAACUGAUCACAUUUGGAGAAACUUGAACCACUAAAAACUGUUAUGCACUUAAUAUAAACACUGCAUUCACAAAUGAGAAAGCACACAAGUGUAGUGUGAUGUACUAAAAAAUUACUUGUAGAGUUUUCCAAAAGUGUCUCUCAAGCGAGCAACAUCAGCACCAACAACUUCAGCCACCUUCUUCCCAUCUUGAAAGAGAUGGAAUGUAGGCUGCACCAGAGUACACACAUCAAAUUACAAACCAAAUAGAUCUUGGAUUUUACCAUAUCCAAGUAAAAACAUAUAGAAUUACUAAGAAGCAAAACCAGUAAUAAUCCAUUCAAAAGACCAUCUUAAAAAGAUCAUCCCACCAGUGCCAUGAAUAAAAGAAGCUAUAUAUGAAGAACAAAAUAAAUUGGAAUAUUUUCUUUCAAACAUAAUAAGAGCAAUCAUUUACCACAGCAGAAAUAUUCAACUUGCCCAAAGUGUUUGUAAGUCCUUCCUGUAUAUAGAAUAAACAAGGUUAGGUAUGAAUUUAAAAAAUAAAAAAAAAUCAUGCUCCCAAAUUAAAAAUAAAUGAAAUUACUUUCAAACUAGCUAACCAUUACAUGCCAGAUGGCUAUAAGCCCACAAGUAAAGUUAUUGCUACAACUAACUUGAGAAUUGAAACCCGUAACGAAUAACUAGAUUUCAUAAUUAACAACACUUAACAUAUAACUAGGUUCCAUAAUAACUAGAUUCCUAUGCGAAUGCGCACCUCAUCGAUGUCAAUCUUAUAUGUUGUUGCAUGUGGGUAUUGCUCACUCAACUCUCCAAUGACUGGAGAUAUGAACCUGCCUGCACAAGAGAUCACACCAAAGUACCAAUUUUAAGUUCAAAACACAUAAUUACGCCACAUUUUGUGCCAAUGACUUCGUUGCUUAAAAGAAAACAUAUUUCGAACUUACAAGGCCCGCACCAGACUGCAGUGAAGUAGAAAAGUGCUGGCUCAGCUCCGUCUAUAUGAAAUUUAACAUAUAAAUCAGAUAAUUUGCAUAAAUGUUUGAUAAGUUUUCUCAAAACAAAACAAUUUUGAAAACCAAGAAAAAUUACCCUUAGCUUUGCUGAUUGUGCUGUUGUAUUCAUCCUCUGACUUAAUGACAACAAUGUUUGAGGAACCUGAAAUUCAAGUUAAUCAAGAAUUCAAUUUAAUGAGCUAUUCCAAAACUCAAAAUUCAAAAAUUGAAACUUUGAACAAUGGCUGAAACAAUAACAAAAAUACGGAGUACCUGAGGGCGAGGAGAGAGGUUGGAGCUGCAGAAAGCGAGGGUUUGGGGAGCGGUGGAGGGAAUUGGAGGUGAAAGGGGUUGCUGUGGGCGGUGGAGGUGGUGAGGUGGGGAUUGAAGAAGCCAGGGUUUGGAAAGAACUGGAAGGAAGGCUGUAAUGAUGAAGAAGCGCGGUGCAGAACUUGCUGUGAUUGCCGAGCAAUUGCCGUGCCAUGGCUACACCUGAAUUCCUUGCCAUUUUUCUCUCUCGCAUUGGUUCUUUAUGUAUCAAGCAAAACCCUAACUGUAAAUUCAAAAUCCAAAACCCUAAUUUAUAAAAUGCAAAAAAAUAUUCAACAAAUUGUCUUACCUUAAGAUUGGAGUGGCGAAGUGAGCACUUAGCAGCUAGUGGUGGAGGACGCGACUGGAAGGGGGAAAACGAUGGUGAUUGGCGACUUGGUGAGCGGUGACUGGUGAGAGGCCAUGCAAGAGAGCUUGGGGAGGUGGAAGGAGAGGACGACGCACCUGGUUUUUAGGGUUUCGUUCGGCUUCCGCUAUUCUGCGAGAGAGAGAGAGAGAGAGAGAGUGAGAGAGAGGGACGAGAGACCGACUGUUUUUCAAUUGCAAGGUUUGCACCUCCAUUUUGUCUAAAGUCAUUUACUUUGAGCGACACAGCCUGUGUGUCGCGCAAACGUUCUUUGCACGACACAGGUGCCCCUACGUCACGCAAAGCUAUUUUACGCGACGAAUGCACACCUUUGUCGCACAAGAUUUUGGAAAAAUUUAAACAAAGUGCAUAUUUUUUACAGUUAAACCGCCAAAAUUUUAACACAUUGCAUGACGCAUGCAUACAUUAAGACAUCGCACAAAGUUGGUUUAUGCAACGACCCAUCGUGACGUCGAGCAAGUUUUUUUUUUUUUUUAAAAUUAUUAUAACAUUUACUCAAAAUAUGACUUUACUCCCUUCAAAUUCAAUUUUUUACAUAAAACCCACAAUAAUAUGUUUUUCUAACAAAAACCUGAUCCGAACUACAAUAAUAAAAUUAAAGCUACUUAAUAAAUAUAUAUAUCAUUCAAUUUCUUAAGUGCUAUACGUACAAUAUAUAUAUAUACACACCAUUCAACUUGUGGGGAUACGCAUUCUACGAAACUAGUUUCAAUGAUCGAACCGUCAAACUUGUUUGCAUAUGCUUCGAGAUUGCAUACGCCAAAAAUCACAAAAUAUAAACAUUCAGAGAUCAAGUAACGAGACAUAACUUUUUCGACAGUUAUAAACGAAAAAUCACGAUUUAAUGAUAGUUUUAACUUCGAUUUUGAUGAUCUUUUAUAGCUACACUCUUUGAUCUUAUAUGAAUAUAUUGAAUGAAUUCGAUCUUUAAUUUAAAAUAUUUACACAAGUGGAUACCACAAAAUCUUAUGUUAUACUUAAUGAAAGUAUAAAUAAACUCUAAGUGUUGGUGAAUCUAUUGUUUUGUUGGGAUACGCAUUGUAUGAAACUAGUUUCAACGAUCCAACCAUCAAACUUCUUUGUAUAUACUUCGAGAUCGCAUACGCCAAAAAUUGAAAAAAACAAACAUUCAGAAAUCAAGUAAAGGGACAAAACUUUUCGAUGGUUAUAAACGAAAAAUCACAAUUUAACGGUAGUUUUAACUCUGAUUUUGAUGAUUUUUUAUAGCUACACUCCUUGAUCCUAUAUGAAUAGAAUGAACUAAUUCAAUCGUCAAUUUACAAUAUUUACACAAGUGGAUACAACAAAAUCUUAUGUUAUACUUAAUGAAAGUAUAAAUAAACUCCCAAGUAUUAGUGAAUCUAUUGUUUUGAUGGGAGAUGCAUUGUACAAAACUAGGUUUAAAGAUCCAACCAUCAAAUUUGUUUGUAUAUACUUCGAGAUCACAUACGCCAAAAAUCACAAAAAAAAACAAGCAUUCAGAGAUCAAGUAAUGAGACAAAACUUUUCGACGGUUAUAAACGAAAAAUCACGAUUUAACGGUAGUUUUAACUCCGAUUUUGAUGAUUUUUUUAUAGCUACACUCCUUGAUCCUAUAUGAAUACAAUGAACUGAUUCGAUUGUCAAUUUAAAAUAUUUACACAAGUGGAUACAACAAAAUCUUAUGUUAUACUUAAUGAAAGUAUAAAUAAACUUCAAGUGUUAGUAAAUUUAUUGUUUUGAUGGGAUACACAUUGUACGAUACCAGUUUCAACGAUCCAACUGUCAAACUUGUUUGUAUAUACUUCGAGAUCGCAUACGCCAAAAAUGGCAAAAAACAAACAUUCAGAGAUCAAGUAACGGGACAAAACUUUUCGACGGUUAUAAACGAAAAAUCACGAUUUAACGGUAGUUUUAACUCCUAUUUUGAUGAUUUUUUAUAGCUACACUCCUUGAUCCUAUAUGAAUACAAUGAAUGAAUUCGAUCUUCAAUUUAAAAUAUUUACACUAGUAGAUACCACAAAAUCUUAUGUUAUACUUAAUAAAAGUAUAAAAUAAACUCUAAGUGUUAGUGAAUCUAUCAUUUUAAUGGGUCUAAAUUUUGCAUUUGGUUAUUUCAUAAAGGAGGUAAAGAAACAAUCUUUUAUCGUACGUAUUAUGCAGCAUUUCACAUAAAAACUAGCAAGAGUCAAUAAAAGUCUAAAUGAACUCACCAAAGGAGUAGGUCCUAUGACAACCCUUCCUUGGUCAUUGUAUUGGGAUCCAUGGCAGGGGCAUAAGAACUUGUUCUCCGCCUUGUUAAAUGGCACGACACAACCAAUGUGAGUGCAGACGGCAUUGAUUCUGUAUGUGGCAAGAGUUUUAUCUUUCUCCACAACAAGCACAGCAAACAAAUCAAGUUAAUUUAGUACCUUUUAUUAAUAUAUUUCCCAAAUUUCUCUCUGUUAGCUUUGCACGACGCAACAAGCACAUCAAACAAUUCAAGUUAAUUUAGUACCUUCCAAUAAUAUAUUUAUUGAAACCGGUUUGUAUGGAUGUGUUGUAUAUAUGAGUUGUCAUCCUCACUUUAGCUAAGUCAUGGGCUAAAGUCACUUUCCAUAGCUUGUCAUUCACCUUACAUCAACCUUUCUUAGUUGCUUGUAAAAGUUUCUUUACUUGUAAUUUGGUUUUUACUUUUCCACUUGUUAAGGCAGAUUUUAGGGACUGUGUUUGUGUAAUUAUCCUACAAUCUAUUGUAGCUUUCUUUUGGCUCUCUAUAAGAGUUGUCUUCACUCUCUUGUAAUCUUCAUAAUGAAAUAUACCACAAAUAUUCAAACCAAAACUCAACAUGGUAUCAGAGCAGGAACCAUAGGGUCCUGACUCUGUUCAUUUUUUUUUACUUCUUCAUUUUCUCAUCAUCGAUAAAGAUAGCAGAAGAAAAUGUGUCUAGUGCAGACAGUGCCUUAUCAUCCUCUCCAAACUUAACCCAAGGGGUUAAGAACAAUCCAAAUCAACGACUCUGCUUGGUGCUCCUGAAUGAGUUCAACUACCUUCCUUGGUCAGUAGUUGUGUCACUUGCUCUAGGAGGAAGAUCGAAGCUAGGUUUUACCAACUUACGAUGCAUGGCAUGCUACUGAUCAGCUGGUCAUGUCCUGGUUACUUAACUCCAUGGAGCCAAAACUGUUUGAGUUUUUCAGCUACUCAAAGUCUUCCCUUCUCCUAUGGGAGUUUGUCAAAGACAUGUAUGGCAGCCAAAAUAACUCAGUUCGCAUCUUUCAACUGAAGAAGAAUAUGGCUAGUUUAAAGCAAGGUGAUCACUCAUUUGUUCAACACCUUGGAAGUAUGAAAUCCAUGUGAACUCGAUAUGUAUCAUUCACACACGACUGAUUACGAUGUGCUACUGAAGAGGGAUGAUGAAGACAAGGUGUUUCAACUCUUAGCAAGCUUGGGAGCAGAGUAUGAAGACAUGCGUAGUCACUUGUUAAUGACUCAAGAGCUGCCCUCCUUUACCAGUGUGUGUCAUGCAGUCCAGAGAGAGGAAACUCAACGAAGAGUGAUGAACGUUGAGCCCAAAUCCAACUCUGAAGCUAGGGUUUUCACGACAAAUCACAAAGUAACUGGUGAUAGGUUGCUUGGCAAGAAAGCAGACUGGAAAUGGUCUUAUUGCAACAUGAAGGGACAUUUGAGAGAAAAAUGUUGGAUUCUUCAUCCGGAGUUAAAGCCGAAGUUUGAUAGGAAAGGCAGGAUGAUCAAAGAUGAGAAGGGUGUAGACACUCCAAAAGCAUUUCAUUCAGCUUGUUCCUCAACUGAUGGGAUGGCCAAUUUCUCAACAAAUCAUGUGUCCUUGAUCAACCAGUUUGCUGCUAUUCUUCAAAAGAAGCAAGGAAACACUGAACCUGAUGAAAUGACACUUGAAAACCCUACUACAAUGCUAGGAAAAUUUGCUGGAUUCUUGGCUGACUUGGAGAACACAUCGAAAGGCAAUAUUCCAAGUAUUAUUAGUGCCAUUUCCACUGCUCUUAAUGCAAAUGUUACACAUGAUUUUUGGAUUAUUGAUUCUGGUGCCACUGAUCAUAUAACUAAUAACCCUUUAGUCUACACGAUUUUCAAAUAACUAUUGAUCCAAUUCAUGUAUCUAUUGCAAAUGGGAAAGGAGAACCUAUUCUAGGAAAAGGAAAGAUUAGAUUGCUAAGUGAGCAUACUGAUUCCACUGCUCUCUAUGUACUUUUCUUUCCUUUUCAACUUUUGUCAAUAGGAAAAAUCACAAAAACCUUAGUCUAUCUUGCCAUAUUUUCCCCUCACAAUGUUGUGUUUCAGGAUCGAGUUACUCAGAAGAAGAUUGGUGAAGGGUUCUUCUUGAAUGGACUCUACCAUCUCUCAAAUAAGUCCAAUUUUGUCAAAAAGCUCAAUGUCAUCUUAAGUCAAGUUCAGGAACAUCAACUCUGGCAUCAAUACCUUGCCCAUCCCUUAGAACAUGUGAUGAUCAAGUUGUUUCCCUUUUUUUGCAAAAACACAACUUGUCAAAUGUCAAUAGCCACUAGACUUCCUUUUGUUUCCUCUAAUUCUAGAACUAGUAAACAUUUUGAGCUUGUUCACUCUGAUAUUUGAGGUCCUUCUCAUGUAGAAUCCUUUGAUGGGUAUAUUUAUUAUGUUACAUUUAUUGAUGACUAUUCUAGAGUAACCUGGUUGUAUCUUUUAAAACUUAAAAGUGAUUUGUUUGAUGUUUUUAAGGACUUUCACAACCUAAUCACCAAUCAAUUUUCGUCUAAGUUAUAUAUGUUAAGAUCAGAUAAUGGUAUCGAGUACACUUCCAAUAACAUGAGUAAUUACUUGAGCAAUCAUGGCAUUUUGCAUCAAACUAGCUGUGUUGGUACACCACAACAAAAUUAUGUGGCAGAGAGAAAGAAUCGAGACUUAUUGGAGAAGACUCGAUCACUUAUAAUCCAAACGAAUGUUCCUAAGAAAUUUUAGUCUCAAGCCCUACUCACUGCCACGUACAACAUUAAUAGACUGCCAACUCAGGUGUUGAAUACUAAAUCUCCUUUCGAAGUCAUGAAAGGCAGUCCUAUAAACUUGUCUCACCUCAGGACGUUUGGUUGUACUUGUUAUGUGCACAUUCAAGCUCUCUAUCGUGACAAACUUGUGUUGGAAAUAUGCCCUGAAAGUCAAUCUUUGGAAGAAACCUUUCAGGACAAUGAAUGGAUGUAUAGAUGACUCUUAUACAUCAAAUGGCAAAGAUACUAAUUAGGACUAUCUCUAUAAACGAUAUAUGUCCUAAAUAGUGAAUCCAUGGACAAUAGAUCGAUUGAAGAAGUAAUCUAAUGAUGUUAGACUACAGAGACCUUCUUCACAUAACCAUCAUGUCCAAAAGGUUCCUGGUCAUAGGAUUGUUGGAGGGAUACUGACAAUGCAUAGACCGGUACAUACUAUGUCCGCUUCAAUUGGAAGGAUGGAAAGUCUCAUCCCAUUCGUGUAGUGACACUAAGACAAGUAUGUAGGUGCUCAUUAAGGGAAUGAGUUCACUGAACACAAUCGAACGAGAGUACUUGCAUGGAGGUCUACUCACAUGUCAGGCAAGUAACUCUAAUUGUUGGAAUAAUGUAAGUAGUCCUUUGACCUGAGGCAUCAUCGUUGUCUUGUGGUUAAGUACUUGAUCUUUGAUUAUGUCAAAGUCACUCCAUUCGCGGGUGUCCACGACAUAGUUAGGGUUAAGCCACUUAGUCAUGAAGGCAAGUGAAUGCGCAACAAGGAAUCUCUAAUCCUCAUUAAGAAAGGAAGAAUACUCUAAGAUAUGAUUCGGGAAUCUUCGGCCAAAGUAUCGAGCAUAAUAAAGGAAAGCGUUCCUAUACGACUCAAUUGAAUCAUAUAAGAAGGAAUAAUCACAUUAGGGGUUUGACAUAAUAUAUCCAUACCCUAGUGAUGUGAUUGAGAGUAUUGUUUUAGAGAAGGAUCGAAUUACAUUGUAAUUCCAACUGAAUAGGUUCUCCGAACAACUUCUACAUUAGCUUGGGUAGCCAUGAUAUAUCGUUAGAUGUCACUCAUGGCUUGUGAGUUCUUCUAGAUGAUUAAAUGUAAUCAUCAAAGAAGAAGGUGAAUUAAAAGUAGGCUUUAAUUCACUAAGUGAUUGGAUUAAAUAUAAUCAAUUGGAUUGGUUCCAAUCACCUUAAAAGUAGGUUUUAAUUCACUAAGUGAUUGGAUUAAAUAUAAUCAAUUGGAUUGGUGCCAAUCACCUCACUGCCUUGCUAAUUAAAACCUAAAACGAUUGUUCACCAAUACACUCUUGUAGUGAGUAAUUACUGGAUGAUGGAAAUAAUUAAUUAGAUUAAUUAAGUGUUGUGAUUAAUUAGAAAGUCUAAAGAAAUCAUAAAAGCGAUAUAAGAUCGUUUUGGGCUUAAAGAAACGUUCGGGUUUAAUUGGGCCCAUUGGGCCUAAACCCAUUGGGCUUUUAUUCAAGCAUUGGAUGACUUGAAAUAAAUAAAAGCCCAAAGCCCAAACAACACAAAGGGGGCCGGCCAAAGGAGGGAUAGAAAGGUCAAAUGUUGACUUGUUUCUUUUUGGCUAUAAAAGGAACUUUAUAGCAAAUGUUUCAUUAGGGUUUUUGGGUGUUCAAAACAACUAAAGAGAAAAAAGAAAAUAACUCUUUCUUCCACACCAAAGGCCGGCCACCAUAGGGAGAUUUUAGCUAAUCAUCUUUUUCUCCCUUUGGUUAUUCCUUUAUCCUUCUCAUUACACUAGUGGGUGAGGAUCUUUAGAGGUUUUCAAUUUUGGAAACUUGAAAAGAACCUAGGAGCACUCAUUCUAAACAAAGUGGAUGAGGCAAGGAAGGAGUGUCACGCCCCGGACCUGGGGUCGGUAGUAAAAAAACUCGAUCCCGAGUCCGAAACGCGAGUUAAAAGCUAAAUAAAUAAAAGGAAAUUGACACGGGUUGGAAAAUUAAACUCCUCUUAUAAAAACAAAUCCAGAAUUCUUUACAAAGCUAAAAAUAAAUAAAUACAAUUCUAGCCUCACAUCUAAUUCGAUCUCAUCCCGUCUACUCUUUUGACAGUUUAGUUAGUAAACCUGCAUAACAAUAGAGGGGUGAGCUUCAACAGCUCAGUAGGGACAUAACCUUAUCACAGUAAAUUGACAAUAUUAAAUUAAGUGUAAUAAAAUCAUGUAAUCAAGUACCAAAUCAUUAUCAUCAACAAUGCAUGAGUGCAAUACAAUACUCUUCAUCUCUACCCGUUAAUUCAUAUAAUAAAACACGCGGACCUGCACGUCCCAUACCGUGCAUUUUACCUCUGCAGUGGUGGUUCGAAUAUUUUAAUAUACAAAUUAACCCCAUGUAACUCAAUCAUCCCAAUUUCCCCUUUUGUUAGUCAUCUUGCCAAAACCCUUCGUCGCCAGUCCCGAAUUACCCUUAAAGAAUCUGUGCACUGUGGGCUCACCUGAGACCUGGUACCUGCUAAGAGUUUGGCUCAACUACACAAAAGAUUAUUUCCAACUACCCUCAUUUCCAGAAUUCCUUCCUCAACACCAAAACUCCUACCACAUGACCAAUUAUGAAUGAUUAACAUAUACCACAGUAUAUUCUCAACCAAUAGCAUUUCAUCAAUAAUUCCAUAACCAAUAACAAGUAAACACGCAGGGGCAUUAUUUAUCCAAUUAGCAAGCCAAAUCACAUUAAUCAACCAAGAAGAUCGAUAAUAAUAAUAUAAUGUUUCACGAAAUUUAAUAAAGUCAAUCUCCGUAAAGGUCCGCCGUAUUUCCCCUACCUGGAGUCCAAAGCAAACAAGCAGUGUCCCUUACCAACACCUUGAUUACACACAACCGUCGCGGUAACUGGAGUUCCUAAUCCAACAAUAAAAAUAUAUCACUAUAUAAUCCAUUAUAUAGCACCAAAUGUAAAAUCCUAUAUUUUGGAAUUCCCAAGUUAGGCUUAGCAUCUCUUAUUCCAAUUUGGAUCUUCAGAUUUAUAUAAUUUCACUUAAGUACUCAAAUCUUUAAAAAUAAGCUUCCUGUCCCUAACCUGUACAGCAAGUACAAUCUGUCCGAAAAAAGUUCCCAGAAUUAUAGUUUACCCCAAACUUUCGGGUAAUUACAAAACUGUCCUAAAUGUUCAGAGAACUGUAAAAUGGCCCCAAAUCUGAAACUCAUCUUUCAAGUUGGUCCCUACUGCAGAAACAGAAACAGUACAGCCGACCAUGUUUCCAAAUUCAUGUUGCUCCUCUUUCAGUCCAAAAUAUUUCCAACUUCAAUUCAAAUACUCAUAUUUAUACGAUUCAAUUACUUCAAAGUAGGCCAUCAUUCCUUUUAAUUUAGUCGAAUAAUAUCAAUACCCCAAAUCCACAAACUUGAACAUGGAUGGGGUUUAACAGCAACUAACCCAUAGGCAAAUUUAUCUCAAUUCAUUCAAUUAAGCUUCCAAUACGCUUAAGCCAUCACGAAUAACACAUGAAUUCGAAAUAUUACGCUGUGUAGUAAUAAAUCCAAAAAUGGCAACUUCCAAAAUCUGUAGUAAAUCCAUAAAUUAGUACCUGAGAUUUGUAGUACUCUUCCCCAUAAAUUCGUAAGCGAAAACGGAAUCAAAUCCGGACUUCCAAAUCAAAAUUUAUGAGGAAAACGGUAUUUGAUUUGGACAAUGAGAUGAAGCUCCUUGCUUCCUUCCUCUCUGCAUCUUUCUGCGAAGAGAAGAAGAAAUAUGAAGCCUUAGUUCCAUCUGAAAUGAUCCACCGCUUCUUCUCCUUUUAUUUAUCUCUUUUGGUGCAAUGGUAGCUUUCCAAGUGGCAACACAAAGACUUAUGAUUUCUCUUUAAUUUAUCAUAUUUGACAUGUGCCAUCAUAUGAUGAUAACACCACCAGCAUGUCAUCCAAAUGCUGGCUUCUCCAGCAGCUAGCACUUGGCAAUCUUGCCACUCGUUGGCUGUCAUGUGGUGUUCUAACAUUUGUCAGGCUUGGACAUUCUAUCAAAAUUUCAUUAAAGUCCCGAAAACUAAUCCGAAAAAUGAUACGAACUCGAAAUAACGUUUACUACCUUCAUAUGAAAACCUUUUUGAUAAAUAAGCACAACAUAUUUUUUUUUUUCCAAAUAUUUCUCUUUUUUAAUAAUAAAUUAUUGGGAUAUUACAAGGAGGCUAGGCUCAAGGAGUUCAAGGAGCAAAGGGCUUGGAGGUGGUCCAUCCUUGGUCUAAGAUCUAGAUCAAGAGGUAUAAAACUACUCCUAAACUUUGUUCUUAUAUAAGUUUGGUUUUGAUGCAUCUUACAUAAACCUAUGCAUCUUGAAGGGGAUUUGCAUGACUAUUGCUUUGAUAUUAUUUGAUAACAUGCUUCCGUUGCUUUCGUAUAUAAAUUUUGAAUUGUAUAUGCAUGCUAGUCAUUAGAAAUUCCGCAUGAAUCUCAUAGAAUUCCUUUCAACUUGACCCUCGAGCUGUCAAAUGUAUGUUUAUGGGAUACGCCAGUUCUUAAAAGGGUUAUAAAGUGUACAACCCUAACAUGGGGAAACUGGCAGUCUUUAGAGAUGUGCGAUUUGAUGAAUAUUCACCUUAUUUCCACAAAGGGUUGGAGACUAAUGCUAAUAUGGAAGAUCUUAUGGACCUAUUUCCACUACCUAUUCCAGCAGAAAUUCAUGAAGCCACUCAUUCUCAUAUCAUCACUGAGAAUUCUCAACUCACUGAGAGUGUAAUUAAUGCAGUGCCAAGCUCCUCUGGACCAUCAGAAGCUCAACCAAAUCAGCAAGCUAUAAGUGCACCUAGAAGAAACCCUACACGAGAUAGACAUCAACCAGUGAGGUUACAAGAGUAUGUUACUUACACUGCAAGGCAUCCUAUCUCUGCAGCCAUUUCUUAUCAUAGAUUCUCAUCUUCCCAUACUUCUUUCCUUAACAAAUUGUCCUAUACUUUCGAACCAAGGAAUUUUCAUGAACCCACAUGCAUGCCUGAGUGGCAAGAUGCUAUGACUAAAAAGCUUUAAGCUCUGAAUGACAACUAAACAUGGAGUGUGGUGGACCUUCCAAAUGGCAAGAAGUUCGUGGGAAAUAGGUGGAUAUAUAAGACCAAAUUCAACUCUAAUGGAAGCAUUGAAAAACACAAGGCACGAUUAGUAGUUCAAGGCUUUACUCAAACCUAUGGGAUUGACUAUAAGGAGACCAUUGCUCCUGUUGCCAAAAUGAACACAGUGAGGGUAUUGUUGUAUGUGGCAGUCAAUAAUGCAUGACCUUUAUUCCAAAUGGAUGUGAAGAAUGCAUUUCUUCAUGGGGAUCUUGAAGAAGAAGUGUACAUGAAGUUGCCUUCUGGUCAUCCAAGAGCAAAGGAACCCAACAAGGUCUAUAGACUUCAUAAAGCCAUAUAUGGUCUCAAACAGUCCCCUUGAGCUUGGUAUUCGAAGCUUAGUUCAGUCCUUGAAGCUGUAAGGUUCAAAAUGAGUCAUGCUAACUCUUCUUUGUUUGUUCGAAGUGGUAUUGCUGGCAAAUUGGUUGUGCUUAUAUAUGUUGAUGACCUAAUUAUUACAGGUGACAAUAUAAGUGAAAUCAAGGCGCUUAAGCAGCCACUUCACCAAAAAUUUGCCAUUAAAGACUUGGGGCCCUUGAAAUACUUUCUUGGAAUUGAGGUACAACCUUUUCAAAGGGAUUGUUCUUGAAUCAAAGAAAGUAUGUUCUCGAUCUUCUAGAUGAAGCUAACAUGAUGGAAUGUAAACCAGCUUGAACACCUCUAGCUAGCAAACUUUAGUGGCAUGAAAAAGGUGAACCUCUCUCGGACCCUAGUGUUUAUCAGCGAAUGGUUGGGAAACUUAUUUAUCUCAUCAUUACUAGGCCUGAUAUCUCAUAUUCAGUUAGCCUAGCCAGUCAGUUCAUGCACUCUCUUACUUUAGUUCACUGGGAAAUCGUCAAGAGAAUACUUCGAUAUCUCAAAGGCUCAGUAGGAAGGGGAUAAUUAUGAAGAACAAUGGAUCAACUCACAUCUUGGCCUACACAAAUGCUGACUGGGCUGGAAAUGCCCUUGAUCGAAAUCCAUAACAGGUUUUUGCACAUUUGUUGGAGGGAACCUUGUCACUUGGAAGAGCAAGAAAUAAACUAUUAUUGCUCGAUCUAGUGCCGAAGCUGAGUAUAGGGCUAUGACAGCAACAGCCUGUGAACUCAUAUGGUUGAAAGGUCUUCUUUCCGAGCUCGGAUUCACAAGCAUGACACCUAUGUCCUUGUAUUGUGAUAACCAAGCUGCCAUGCACAUUGCCUCCAAUCUAGUAUUCCAUGAAAUGACCAAACAUAUUGGAGUUGACUGCCAUUGUAUUCGUGCUCAAGUUCAAUCCAAGGUGAUAGACACCAUGUUCACACGCAGCCACGAUCAACUUGCUGAUUUAUUCACAAAAGCACUAGACUCUACUCAGUUUCAGCGUUUGUUGUGCAAGCUUUGAUCAAUCAAUCCCCUUGAUCCAGCUUGAGGGGGUGUAUUGAAACCGGUUUGUAUGGAUGGGUUAUAUGUAUAAGUUGUCAUCCUCACUUUAGCUAAGUCAUGGGCUAAAGUCACUUUCCAUAGCUUGUCAUUCACCAGUCACUUUCCAUAGCUUGUCAUUCACCUUACAUCAACCUUUCUUAGUUGCUUGUAAAAGCUUCUUUACUUGUAAUUUGGUUUUUGCUUUUCCACUUGUUAGGGCAUAUUUUAGGGAUUAUUUUUAUGUAAUUAUCCUACAAUCUAUUGUAGCUUUCUUUUGGCUCUAUAAGAGUAAGAGUUGCCUUCACUCUCUUGUAAUCUUCAUAAUGAAAUAUACAACAAAUAUUGAAACCAAAACUCAACAAUAUUUCCCAAAUUUCUCUCCGUUAGCUUUGCGCGACGCCACCUCCGUCGCACAAAACUAUUUUGCACAAUAGAGGGGUACCUACGUCGUGCAAAGUUGAGAAAAAAGUGGUAAGGUAUUCUUGCUUUGGCGUCAAAAUCUUGCACGACACACAAGAGGUGUCACGCAAACGGCGUUUACGCAAAGGCCGUUUGUACGACGUUUUGUGUUUAGCGUUGCGCAAACAUACUUUGCGCGACGAAAUUUGCUCCAUCGCGUAAACAUGUUUUUGUUCUAGUGGAGAAACACUUCAAAACAAACUGUGGACAUGAAAACUUUAAAUGUCAAAUGCUGCCACGAUAAUAACACUUGGAACUAGGUUUUUUUUGUUUUCCUUUAAAAUGUUGCUUUAAAUAUAAUUUUCUUUUCCAUGUCUAUUUAGAGAAGAUGAUGAAAGAAUUUCAUUCAUAUAUACGGAAACUCAAACGUUAGGAAAUUAGACCAUAAAGUAUUUGUGUAAUUUCCAUGUUUGGUUUACAGUAAUGAGAAUACAAAACUUGUUCACUUACUUUUAUUAGGGUAAAUUGGACAAAAACAAUGCAUAAAAGUUUUCCCAACGUAAGUAAGGAAAAUGUAUGAAAUUCCCUCUGCAUGUGAAGUUCAUACUCAUUUGACAAGUAUCACAUUCCCAACAAUAUGUUUACAAAACAUCGGAAUGGUAUCUCAUACUCCUUACCAUAAUCCGAAUUUACAAAUCGCAAAUCAAACGAUAGUUUAAGUAUUUUUUUUUUCUAUAAAAUGGAGCUCUCGGAACUUAUUUGUGAAAAGCCGUCCCAUACUUAAUCGAAUACUAAUCAAGUAGUACCAAUUACAUGUUUUUUUUUUCUUUCAUUGAAGGGAAUCGAUACUCAUUAUAUUGCAAGCUCACUUUCUUUCACUAUUUACUAUAAGUCUGUAACCCAAGGGUUUUUGUUCUAGAUAUUACAUGCAUGUUCAAACGACUGCUAGAUUUCAAUGUUAACAUCAGACAGUCUAUUGGAUUACCAAACACAUGCAUUAAUAUCUUUGAAAUGAGAGGUUUUACAGGUUAAAGUUCAGCAUCCACACAGAUCAGAUAAUUAAUGAUGUUGGUUCGAUCAGGUAGUAUUGGAUCUUAGGUUUUUUCUCUCGUUUGGUCCCGAAAAGGAAAACAAAAACCUUUUUCACACAAAUACCAGAAUUCUAUAGUCUCUAGGAAAAUCAUAGCUGGAGCACUCUCAUCAUAUAUGAAUAUCGCAGAUGUGAUACAUAAGCCCCUACGUACUCUCAAAGAUAGGAAUAUAUAUAUAAAUUUUUAUUAUAACCCAUUAUUUCCGUUUUGUCACCUUGUCGCAAAAUUUGUCACGUUUUGUUGGCAUUGCAUAUGUUCUCACAAAUGUGAUACGACCGCCAAUUAAAGUCAAUGUAGUGCGUAUAUGUUUUUGUUUUAUUUGGCUGAAAAUUAUGCAUAUUGAUAUAGAGAAUUGUUAUUAGCAUGCAGUUAACCGAAUUAAUCUGCAUAUAUUUAAUUUUAUUUUCUUAAUUAUAAUUAAUACGUGUAACAAUAUAAAUUGUUAGUUAUUUACAAGUUAUCGUGUUUCCACCACAUGAAAACAAAACCUGAUUAGUUUAAGUGUCCCUUUGGAGAACAAUUGAGGGGUACCAUUUGGAGAAGGCAGCAAUUACUACUUUGGUGCUCUCCUUGGGCUGCCUCAUUUGUACUUUUUUUUUAGCAAUCACUCAUAUUAGUACUAUGUUAUGUAGCUUUUGGGGAAGAAAUGAUGCAGCCCAAGGAGAGCACCAAAGUAGUAAUUGCUGACCCAAACCACAUGAAAUGAAGCCAUACCAACUCAUAUUAGUACUAUGUUAUGUAGCUUAUGGCUUCACACAAACCGAGAACUGACCCAAACCAACUCGCCACUGUUGAUUAACCGACUUGAUUGGUUUUAAACCCAACUUGAUCGGUUUCGGUUUGCAAUUUUGACACAACCGACUAGGUCAGUUUGGUUUUGGUUUUAGCCCAAAACCGACCCAAACUAACCCACACCCACCCCUAGGCCAAACUUAUGAAUUUCCCAUCACAUACUUGAAGAAAAGAGGCAUCCAUAGUUUGGUUAUUCUCCAUUUGUGUAUUAAUAUAAUCAAAGUCUUACCAUUCUCUUGUUUUGUAAAAACCUCAUUAUUAAAAAAUUAGACACAUGUACAACAGGGCCGGCCCUGGCCCAGGGCUAGCAGGGCAACCGUCCGGGGCCUUAAAAACUUGAGGGGCACCAAAAAUUGAUAGGGUAGUAUAUUCAUAUAUAUAUAUAUAUAUUUCCAUAAGCAUAUAAAUUUUGAAACCUUGGUUAAAUCUACAAGUACCUAAGGCAGAAGCGGUGGUGUUUCACUGCUUACUUAACAAGACGGUCGUGUUCGAAACCCGAUGUGUUCAUUUGUUUUCCAAUUUUUUACGAUAUUCUGUUUGGGAUCAAUGCAAGGCACCUUAUGCUUUUCCUUUCAUGCCUUUCCCCUCACUAUUUAACAUCGGGAUGUAAUUUGUACAACAAACUAAAUAGUUAACUUAAUGCUAAGAACUCAUUAAAAUACAAAUAAUUAAUAAAACAAUAAAAUAGAAAUAUGGUGCCCAACACCUAUUAAUGUUCUUCCUCAACCCUUUUGUUGUCUCUUUUAACUUUCCUGGGCAGCGGCUAUAAGCCAUGCCUCUCAAUUUCUCUUAUUUUAUUUAUAAAGAAAUAUAAUUAUAAACAUGAAAAUUUCCUGAAAUGAAGGAGACAAGAACACGUGUACAAAAUAAUAUUUUGUAUUUGAUGAUUUUGGGUUACAAUCUCUCUCAAAUAUGAUCAUCUGAUUCGAUCUCCGUAAGGUGUGUAUUUGUGGAUGUGCAUUGAUCCAGGGGCCAUCGAGGCUUGAUCUUGGAUGAACGGUUGAAAGUUUCUUCAAGGGCCGUUGAGGCUUGAUCUUGAAUGACAGUGAUGAACGGAUCUUCAAGGGCGUUUGAGGCUUGAUCUUGAUGAACAGUUGAUGGAUGGAUCUUCAAGGGCUUUUGGGCUUGAUCUUGAAUAAUGGUGAUGAACGGACCUUCAAGGGCUUUUGGGUUUUGAUCUUGAAGGACGGUUAGAUGUGUGGAUUUGUCGACGUUGUUGAUCCAAAGAGCCGUUGGGGCUUGAUCUUAGGAUGAACAGAUGAUGAACGAUGAACACUUUCUUCAAGGGCCGUCAGGGCUUGAUCUUGAAUUGGUGGAAGUUCUUCAAAGGGACGUUGGGGCUUGAUCUUGAAGGUUGGGUUGACGAAGAACGAAGAGAGCUUUCUUGAUCCUUCGGGAUUUGCUUGGGAGCUUUGGAGUUUCAAAGUUUCAAGGUUUUGGUGUGAGGUGAAUUGGUUAUGAAUUCGUUCUUUUUCUCCCUUCAAAUGAAUGAAUUAGCCUUCUAUUUAUAGAAAUUUCCAAGGCCUAAUUUUGAAUAUAAUAUUCCAGAUGAAAUAAGUCGUUUCUGCCAGGUGUUGACAUGUGUCCUAUUUGAUGACUUUUCCGACUCUUUUCGAUUUUUCGUUUAGUCACACGCUACGUGUAAAAUUUAUGUGACACGUGAGCGUUGAAAUUGUAACUAUUGGUCAACAUUUAUUUCACCGAAAUUUCGAUGUCUACAAAUGCCCCCACUUCAAGGCGUGUCGUAUACAUGUGCUUGUCGCGUGUAGGAGAUGCGUUUUGAAGUCCCUUAAUGUAGAUGUCGACCCAAGGGCCAUCGAGGCUUGAUCUUGAAUUGGGCUGGAGAUUUCUUCAAGGGCCGUUAAGGCUUAAUCUUAAAUUGGGCUUGAGAUUUCUUCAAGGGCUGUUGAGGCUUGAUCUUGAAGGUUGAAAUUGGACCACAAGGAACUUCAUGUGGUAGAUGAUCUUUGGCUUUUAGUGGAUGAAUUGGCACGUAUUUGUUUUUGUGCUUGUUGACUUUCCACAACUUUGAUCUUGAACUGGGUUGCAAGAUUUUCUGGAUUCCUCCAAUUGUUGACUUUCCACAGCUUAUUCUUGAACUAGAUUUGAUUCAAUGGUGGUGGACGCUUGAUCUUGAAUUAGACUUGUGAUUUCCUUAAGGGCCGUCGAGGCUUGAUCUUGAAUUUAGCUGGAGAUUUCUUCAAGGGCCGUUGAGGCUUGAUUCUUGACGGUUGACUCGAACACAUGGCAAGCAGGCACGAGGUGAAGGUGACGACUUGUUGCUUUGUUUAAUCUUUCUAAUUCACACCUGAGCAGUUUGGUCAACGGUAUGAUCUUCAAGAUUGAUGGGCUCUUCUUCCAGUUGGUGACUUGAUCUUUAAGGAUUUGAUUCAAGGGUGGUGAAUCGGCACGUGCAGCCCACAACGCCUAGCGAGUCGACCCAAGAAUUUGAGGGUCAAAACGAGUCCUCCACCCAGAGUGAUUGCAACCCUGAUGAUAUGAGAUACUUUUGAUUUUGAAGAAGUAGCGGAUGAAUCGGCACGUGCUUUGUUGUGCUUGUCUCCACAUGCUUCAAUGUAUCAUUUUCCCUUGCCUUAUCUAUUCUUCUGGCAGAAUGUGGCAUCUUUUCGAGUUCCUCAGCUCAGACUCAUUCUGCUGAGUUGACUGUGCAGGCUGCAUUCUUCUCUGCUUGUUUCUUCUGCACGUUGUCUCCACAUGUUGCAAGGUAUCAUUUUCACUUGCCUUAUCUGUUCUCCAGGCAGAUGUGGCAGCUUCUUUGGAAGUACAACAACAGUGGAAGACGAGUACUCGAGCAAAACCAUGUAAGCAACCAGACAAAGGUUCCAGGUAGUCGGCAACCAUUGAGUGAUUGAUUAAUAUGGCUUCACAUGCUCUUUUUUUUCAUCAGAAAUCUUCGACAAUUUGUCUGUAAUUUUUGCCAAGCUGAGUGUGCAUGUGACAGGUGUUGACGAGGCUGAAAAAGAUUGGCGCCUCUUCGAUAUCUGGGAUCGACGCUUCGACAAACUGCCCGUGAUUUCCGCAAAGCUGAGUGUGCAUGUGACAGAUACUGACACGUCUGGAAAAGCAGAUGCCUUUCCGAUUUCUGAGCUUACCUCUUCAAGUUCUAAGCUCCGUCGAGUGCAGAGGUUGCAUGUGACAAGUGCGGACAAAUCUGGAAAUGAAGAUUAGCCCGUGGUUUCUGAGCAAGCCCAGCUUUUGAGAAAGCUAGCACCUCUUCGAUUUUUGAAUUGGCCUCUUCGAAUUCUGAGCUUGCCUUUUCGAACUCUGAAAUCCCGUCGAGUGCUGAUUUUUAUAGAGGCACGCAGUUCGUUUCAAGCACACUUGAAUUUUCGCUUAUAGAAACUCCCUUCUUGCACUUCUAAGAUCUUGAUUUGUCCGACCUCUUCUUUCUUCAACACCUUUGAAAAUGUCUGGCCCUUCUGACCGUCGUUUUGACUUGAACCUUGGUGAAGAGGCAGUCCCACCUUCUCUAGACAACAUAUGGCGCCUAUCCUUCAUAUCCCCUACUGGUCCUCUUACCGUUGGGGAUUCGGUGAUGAAGAAUGAUAUGACCGCUGCAGUGGUGGCCCGGAACCUUGUCACUCCCAAAGAUAACAGACUGUUUUCCAAACGGUGUGAUGUGUUGACUGUUAAGGAUUAUCUGGCUCUCAGUGUGCAGUGUGCAGGUUCUGUGUCUAAUAUGGCCCAACGUCUAUUUGCUCGAACCUGUCAAGUUGAAUCAUUGAAGGCUGAAGUGAUGAGUCUCAAACAAGAGAUUAGAGGGCUCAAGCAUGAGAAUAAACAGUUGCACAGGCUCGCACAUAACUAUGCUACAAACAUGAAGAUGAAGAUGGACCAGAUGCAGGAAUCUGAUGGUCAGAUUUUACUUGAUCAUCAGAGGUUUAUGGGUUUGUUCCAACAGCAUUUGCCUUCGUCUUCUAGGGCUGUACCGCGUAAUGAAGCUCCAAAUGAUCAACCUUCGGUGCCUCCUCCUCCUGGGGUUCUGCCUAGUAUUGAGGCUCUAAAUAAUCACCCUCUGGUGCCUCCACCUUCUGGAGCUCCGCCGAGUACUGAGACGCCACCUGAGCAAUGAAGACUCUCUCCCGUUUAUUUGCACAUUGUUUUUGUAAUUUUUAUUUUAUUUUAUUUUAUUUCAUGUAAAUGUACGUUUCUGUAAAUUUUUUUUAGAGAAAUCAAUAAAUGAGCUUUGUUUCACUCAGUGUACAUUUUUUUUUCACAUGGUGUCAAAAGCACCAAAGGACUCUAUUUUUUUUCACAUGGUGUCGUCCACCAUCAUUUUUUUAUUAUUUUUUAUUUUUUAUUUUUUUUUGCUUUCAGUGGUGCUCACAGCCACCACCAUCAUGAACCUUUCAACUUUAUUUUAUUUUAUAUUAUUAUAUAUAUAUAUUUUUUUUCUUUUCCGUCUGCUUUUGGUGCCAGAUGCACCAUGUCUCCUCUUUUCCAUUUUUUAUAUUAUAAUUUUUCCAUGCACACAUACAUACAUACGUACAUACAUAUAUACAUAUAUAUAUAUAUAUAUAUAUAUAUAUAUAGGGUGCAGGAUAGGAGCUUGGAGGAGGAAGAAGGUGGAGCACGGAGGAGGAGGAAGAUGACUUGCUUGCUGCCUGCAGCAGGUCCCAGAUGGACAGCGGCGACUGAGUGUUUGGGCUUCCGUGGCUCAAGCUCUGUCCACAACCCCAACCACUGCGUAGAGUGUUGACUGGGGAGAACCAGAAGCGACCCAAUCCUUUGGCUUCUCGAAGGCGAGCUGGGAGAGGUAUAACGACUAUGGUAAAGGAAGAUUGAGUACUGCGGCUGACGUCCUGGAGAAGCGUGGGUGAUUCGAGCAUCAAGCCCAACUCGAAAACCGACAGCGGGGAGCAAAAACGAAGGUGAAGCAGCAGCCUAUUCAUCCCUUUACCACGGGAGAUCAAACUCUGAGCCACCUCAAACAAUCCCUUACUGGCAGCAUAAUGAAGGGCAGGUCAACCGCCGUCCGUCUUCAUUCGUGCUGUUUAUCACACUUGUUAAUUCAUCAGCAUCAAACAUCAGCUUCACUACCUCGGAGCGACCUGAAGAGACAGCAACGCAGAGGAGAGAGAGAAGGCGGAAGGGUAGAGAUAUCUGACUGAUCCCCGGAGAGCCUGAGCUUUUUCCUGCACGCCUCACCAUCUUCCACUUAUUUUUUGCUUCUUUUGCUGUUGACGUUUAGAUUCAUUACUUCUCUUCUUAUCAGCUUUGGAUCGCUUUAAUUGAUGAACCCUUUUCUGUAGUGGAUCAAAGGGGUAGUUAGCCUCAAGCUUGAACUCUUGAACGCACCUUAUUACGGCUUUCAGUGCAGCAAGCUCUUUUGCAUUAACAUCAUCAUGUGCACCAGUACCAUCUCGUGUGCUGUCUCAAGGUUGCGGAAAUGCUCUUCAAUUUCUUUCCACCGAACCCGGUCCUCAGAAGUAUCAUUGGGUGCAUUUAGUUCCUAGUAAUGCGUCACCAAGCUGAUCGAUUAGAGAGCUUGGUGCAUCACUUUCCAGAACUUGUUUCACAUCAACCAUGGUUAAUGCAAAUCUACACCUGAGAAUGAUUCACACAGAGUGCCUAAACAGGUCUGAGACGGAGAGGAAGCGAGCUCACAGGUUGCGACUCUUGGAAUUGCAAGUGGAAUUUGAUCGAACGCUUGGCGUGCAUAGUCAAGGUUGAAGAAGGAGGUCCACUUACUCCGGGUGUGUGCACUAUGUGUAGUAGGUGGGGUUUGGGUGGAGUGAGGAGGCUGAACGAUUUGCAAAGCUCCAACGUCAUGUAGAGAUCGUCACUGCCGGUGUUGAAGGCACCUGGGAAGAUGCCGCGACUUUCUUCGUCCACUUGGGGCUUUUAAACAGCGCCAUAUCGAUUGGAAUAGAGGACGUAGUUGGUAGCGUCUGGAGGGAAAUGACCGAUGACAGCGUCUCUGGAUAUCAUCGAUGCUCAAAAACCGACCAGAAUUACUAGAUGUGCACCGAGUCAGGAUCCGAAGAACCUUCCUCUUCGGCUUGUACUAGCAGCUUUUGGAAGAUGGGCCAGGGCCUGAUUUGGACAAUAGGCUUGGGCCUGGUCAUUGCCACUUGGGUUUGGACGACCUCCUUCUAAUGGGCUGGCUGGAUAGAUGACAUAUAUAUAUAUUAUUUCUUUUUCCUUUCUUUUCUUUUUCCUUUCUUUUGUUUUUGUUUUUUUGUUUUUUUGUUUUUUUUUGUUUUUUUUUGUUUUUUUUUGUUUUUUUGUUUUUUUUGUUUUUUUUUGUUUUUUUUGUUUUUUUUUGUUUUUUUUUUUUGUAAAUACAUAAUAACAUAUGUAUUUAUUUAUUUUUUUGUAAUAAAAUUGACUUUCUUUAAUAAAACAUUUAUUUUUUAUUUUGAUAUGACUGAACUCGAAAUUAAAUGUUCAAGCCGCCUACGUACCCUUCCAAAGAAGAGAUCAAGUCAUAACGUAGUUCAAAUACUUUUUUUUUUGUGCCGUACGCAGUUUCAACUCGUGCAGGCAAGGAGCUUUUGGUGCCGUUUGCAGUUUCAACUCGUGCAGGCAAGGAGCGUUUGUUGGUUCGUCAAGCGAUCUGGGAGAGUCUUUCCUCCCAAUCUUCAUAGCAAAGAGCCUUGACUGAGUAGUUGAAGAUGUCUUCUGGGAAGAUGUCAUGCAUCGUGAUGGGGAUGGAUGAUCUUCGUGUCAAAGUUUCAUUAUCUCCAACACUUUCACAUUGUUCUGAAGGUUGACAGGAGCUGCUUUGCCCCCUUUCCCAUUGGUGAACUUGUGGAAUAUAUGGUUGCUGCCUGAAGAGGCGUUCCUCGCAAUCUUUAUAGCAAGGAGCCUUGACUGAGUAGCUGAAUAAUUUUCUGAGGAAGGAGAGAUCGCGCAUGGUCGAUCUUUGUGUCGAAAUUUCCUCAUCUUCAACACUUUCACAUUGCUUUGGAGGUUGCGAAAGUUGCUUUGCCCUCUUUCCGAUGGAUGAACUUGUGGAAAAGUCAUAUGCUUCUUGUGCAGUUUCUUCGGAGUGACAUGAGUCCAUCCUUCAACUUCACUUGGCUUGACUGGCAUGGUUUUGGAACAUGCCCCCAGCGAUUGAGGUGAAGAUUUUGAGUUGACAAAGCCGGAAGUGACGUUUUCUAUCCCGUCUUCUUUGUCUUCUUGGGCCUCCUUUUCAGUGUGGUCCUCUUGGGUUUGUUGGCGUGAAGAUUGGCCGGUGUAGAUGAUGGUGCACCUCCUUACCUUCAGUGGUCCUUUUGUGUCGACCUCCAAAGCUGCUUGGCGCUUCAUCCUUGAAGGAAUCAAGCUUUGAACAUCGUCUUUUCCUGCUAGAAUGUCGAGCUUUUCUUCCUUUGGUGUUGUCUUCCUGUUUCUAGAAGGCUUCUUAGUUUCUUCAAGUAUGUCCGCAGCCGACCGUUGCGGAGGAGAUCUAGCUAUGCCGCUUUGUUUCUUGGGUUUUGAUAACCUUUCAAAGACAGAUCUUUGCAAUGUUGGCAUCCUAAGCCUUUUGAAGAUGGAAGUUCGGUCUCGACCACUGAUGCGAUCAAGUGUCGAAAUUCUAGGUUUUGAAUGAUUCAGCCUGUUGAAGACUGAAGUUCGAGGGGCGGGUUUAGGUUCUUCUUUUGGCCUUGUGGCUUGUGGUCUUGGCUUCCUUGUUUUUUUGUAAGUCGCUGAUGUCCACCAUUCCUUAUCACCAGUAAAUGCAUCUUGGUUGCUUGCCCCCGGUGAUGGUUGUGUAGGAGGUGCCGUGUGACUUGAACAUUGACAGGAAUGGUCAUGUAUGCUUCGGAGAUGCACAAGAUCGAGUGAUCCAAACACGAUAGUAGUAGUGUGUGCCGCAUCGAGUGAUCCAAACACGAUAGUAGUAGUGUGUGCCGCAACUGUGUCUUCGAGGUCAAGCUCGAUUUUCCUUUGUUAUGCUAGCUUCAGGAUGAGAUCUUUCAGUACAAAACACUUUUCCGUUAGAUGACUGAUGAAACGGUGGAAUUUAUAGUACCUUGGACUAUCAGUAAGAUUCAUCUCUUCCGGCCGUCUGCACUCAGGUAGGUCGAUCACCUUUUUGUCAAACAAGUCUUUCAACAUGGCAACCACAUUAGAGUCGAGGAAUGGAUAAGUUUUCUCCUCGAGCUCCUUCAAAGUACGUAUAUGCAUCUCUUUCAACAUGGCUGAACUGCCGUUUGAAUCGGCAUCGGAAAGCAUGGAUUCGGAGUAUUUCCUUGGGCUUUCCCCCCUUGGUGCCCUUAGUGAGGCUAAGGUGAUCACAGGCUCGUGCUUUGGGUGCUCUUGUUCCCUUGGCAGAGUUGAUGCAGAGGUGAAAGAGGCGGCAGAAGCAGCUCUUGCAUUGCUUCGAGUCGUGAUGCGCAAAGUGACACCACUUGAGACGAGGACGCUCUUGUUAUUUGCGCCGAUUGCGGGAACAGUUUGAGCCUUCCUUGAUGCCAUUGAUUUUGGAAGUGUGCUUGAAUUUCUUGAACGGAGAAAGAGAUGAGAGGUAGAGAUGAUCCCACCGGGCGUGCCAAAUUUUUAAACACGAAAAUUUCUUGAAACGAAGGAGACAAGAACACGUGUACAAAAUAAUAUUUUGUAUUUGAUGAUUUUGGGUUACAAUCUCUUUCAAAUUUGAUCAUCUGAUUCGAUCUUCGUAAGGUGUGUAUUUGUGGAUGUGCGAUUGAUCCAAGGGCCGUCGAGGCUUGAUCUUGGAUGAACGGUUGAAAGUUUCUUCUGUUGGAAAUGUGCCCUAAAACCAAUCAUAUGAUGAUACUUUACGGACAUUUCACAUGUUAAACUAAUCUAGUUUAAUAUCAAGGGCAAAGAUUAUUGUUUGAGCCGUCUCAUAUAAAUGUUAUACGCUUAAACGAUAAGUCCAAGGAAUAUGUGAUUGGGAGAAUGCGAUCUAAAGAAGUUAGAUUCAUGAGACCAUUCUUUCGUAGACACAUCCUAAACGUUCCUGAUCAUAGGAUUGCCAAUUGGGCAUUGACAGUCCGUUAAGAUCAGUACGUGUUGUGUCUUCUCUUAGGGAUAGUGACUAGUCUCGAGUCAUUGGUGUGUGUGACAUCAAGACAAGCAUGUAGGUACUCAAUAAUGAAUGAGUCCACUGAACACGAUCAACGAGGAGUUCUCAUACUCAUGUCACAUGAGAACUCAUAGUUGGGAUAAUGCAAAGUAGUCAUUUGACCUGAGGCAUCAUAGUUGUCUUGUGGUUAAGUCCUUGAUCUUUGAUUAUGUCAAAGUCACUCCAUCAUGAGGGUGUCCACGGCAUCGUCGGGGUUAAGCCACUUAGCCAUGGAGGCAAGUGAAUGUGCAACAAGGGAUCUCUAACCUUCAAACCGUUUGGGGGAGAAUACUCUAUGAUAUGAUUAAGAAUCUCUAGCCAGAGUAUGAAUGAGAUUUAGGAAGUCGUUCCAAAUCACAUUCAAGGUAAUCAUAUAAGCACACAAAUCACAUUGGAUAGUAGACAUGAAUAAACUAUCAAACCAAACAAUGUGGUCAAGAGUAUUGUAUUAGAGAAAGACCGUAUUGCAUUUGUAAUCCGAAACUGAAUAGGUUCUCCACCUCUUCUGAUUAGCUUGGGUAGCCAUGAUAUGCUGCUAGGUGUCACUCAUGGUUUGUGGAAGCCCUAAACGUGUAUAAUCACUAAAGGGAGAAUUGAAAGUAAGUUUCAAUUCACAAUCGAUUUGAAAGAGUUCUAAUCUCUCACUGCCUCGCUAAAAAGAACCUAAUGGAUCGUACACCGUGUAAGGUAGAGAUUGAAGAAACAAAGGAGAUGAGUAAGAAUAAUUAAAUGGUUUGAUUAUUUAUUUAUGGCAAGGAUUAAUUAAUAUGUUAAUUAAUCAAACGAAUAAAGUUCAUUAAAAGAUCACGGGUUAGUUUUGGGCCUCAAGGCCCAAUGGGCUUCGAACGUCAAGCCAUUAACUUAAGUUGUAUGACAACUUAAUUCACAAAGGCCCAAAAAGCCCAAUAGAACCCUAUGGCCGGCCAUUUAGAGGAAGGGUAGUGAACUUGCUUUAAUUACAAGUUUGCCACUCCAAUGAAUAAAGGUAUAAAUAUGACUUUAUAGCCAAAAUUCAUUUAGGGUUUCUUUUAGAGAAUUGGAGAGAACAUAUCUCUCCCUUUUCUCUCUAAGAGGUCGGCCACCCUUGGAGGGAUUAACUAGUAAUCUUUCUCCUCCAAGGUCACUCAUCUCUUCUUCACAUCUUACCUUGGUGUGGAGACUUAGAGGUUCUCUAUUUUGAGAACUUGGAGAAACAUAUUCUUCCAUCCAAAUCCAUGGAUCUAAGAAGCAAGGAAUGAAGGCCCUCUCAUUGGGUGAUUAGCCUUUGCUUAUGCAAAGAGGAAUCUACAAAGGUAUAAAUUUCUCAACUCACUUUGAUUUGAGUUGAGUCUUGGUUCACCAAUCUACUAGGCUUUGAAUUUCAUGGUUAAUGUUUUGUUUUUAAGUGCAUACAAGCAUGAUUCCGCCUUUUAAUUGUUAAUUGCAUGCUAUAGAUGUUGCUUAAAUGAACAUGUUUUUCACAAAAUUUCCUUCAUCUUCAAGGGCCGUUGAGGCUUGAUCUUGAAUGGCGGUGAUGAACAGAUCUUCAAGGGCUUUUGAGGAUUGAUCUUGAUGAACAGUUGAUGGAUGGAUCUUCAAGGGCUUUUGGGCUUGAUCUUGAAUAACGGUGAUGAACGGACCUUCAAGGGCUUUUGGGUUUUGAUCUUGAAGGACGGUUGGAUGUGUGGAUUUGUCGACGUUGUUGAUCCAAAGGGCCGUUGGGGCUUGAUCUUGAAGGUUAGGUUGACGAAGAAUGAAGAGAGCUUUCUUGAUCAUUCGGGAUUUGCUUGGGAGCUUUGGAGUUUCAAAGUUUCAAGGUUUUGGCGUCAGGUGAAUUGGUUAUGAAUUGGUUCUUUUUCUCCCUUCAAAUGAAUGAAUUAGCCUUCUAUUUAUAGAAAUUUCCAGGGCUUAAUUUUGAAUAUAAUAUUCCAGAUGAAAUAAGUCGUUUCUGCCAUGUGUUGACAUGUGUCCUAUUUGAUGACUUUUCCGACUCUUUUCGAUUUUUCGUUUAGUCUACGUGUAAAAUUUAUGUGACACGUGAGCGUUGAAAUUGUAACUAUUGGUCAACAUUUAUUUCACCAAAAUUUCGAUGUCUACAAUAAUUCUUGAAAAAAUAAUUUUACAGUAACAAUCACAUAUGGUUGUAGGUCGGAGAAAAUUGCAAAGGCAUAGAGAAGGAUUUUGAUGACAAAUUUACCUAGCUAACGAAUUUCAGAAAAAAUUACAAAAAAAAAUUCAUUAGUUCUACAAGAUUUGGGGGUUAAAAUGUGAACGAUGAGAGGUUCCAUGUCGAGAGGCAUAGCUGAUGCGACCUAUAGAGGAAGUGAAAUGGAUAAAAGUUAAAGUUUGAGUAAGAACAAAGAUAAGUGGUGGGAUCCAAAAUUCUAAUUAUCUUUAAUUCUCUCAUGCAUUGCUUAUACAUUUCAAUUAAAAACUCAAAAAUAUGAUAUAUAUUUUUAGUCGCAUAUUGACAAAGUAAGUAAAUAAGAAAAAACACCUCACAGUUUUAUAUAAAAGCACUCCAAAAUUUCGAGGGGAAACAUCUAGUUGUAAGCCGGGGUUUUUUGGUUCCCUUUUCUCAAAUCAAAUGUUGUGUCACCAAUAAAAAUAAGCACGUUAAUCAACCCUUAAAUAAUAAUCCAAUCUUUAACUUCCAUGUCAUUUAGUUUACCAUAUUUUGUCUACAAAUUUAAUCUUCUUAACAUUACCCUUUCUAAAUUAUUAAAUUUGGUGUGCUUUUCUAAGUGUUAUUUUAUCGAAAUCUUACCUAUGAAAACAAAUAAUUUUUAUUAUAUGGAGUUUAGGGUAUAUUUUUUUACGUUGCCUUGGGCCUCAAAAAUCUCAAGACCGGCCCUGAUAUACAAUGAAUACCAUCCUCUUAUUCUAGUAAAAGCACUCAUUUUCUUUGCUCAGCGAUCAUUUUCUAGUCAAAGCAUAUAUAAUUAAAAGAAAACUUAGGUCACAGACACUUUUGGAAAUUUGGGGAUGCAAUUUUCAAGGGAGGCAGAUUGUCUGCUCUUUUGGUGCCCUUUCCAUCCCCUCCUAUUUAUAUGGUCAUGGUUAAGCCACGGCAACAUUUUAUAUUAAUUUUUUAAUAGAGAUAAUAGGACAAAAAAUAAUAAAAAUAUAAAAUGUUGAUGUAACUUAACCGUGACAGUAUAAAUAGAUGGGGAUGAGAAGGGCACCAUAACAGGAGGACAGACAAUCUCUGCCCUCCCACCAUUUUCAAGACGCCCAAAUCCUGUUUAUGGAAAUAUCCCUUCCAUUUUUCAAUUGGAUGGUUUUUUAAGGGUUUUUAUAUUAACACCUCGCAAAAUGUUGAAUGCACCCCACAUUAAAAUUUAAUAUUAAAUGACUUAUUUACUCUACUAUGUAAUGAAAAUUUUGACCUUAUUAGAUAUAAAAAAAAUAAAGAUUUAUAAAUACACCCCAAAUCACUUUUAAUGUAUUAUUUAUCUUCUCAACUAUCAAACAUGUUGAUUAAGAAAAAUUGUUUUUGACGAAUGGAACACGAAAUCGAUGUUUCAGGAGCUUCACAUGAGGUAAGACUUCAUAGUUUUCAUUGUUUUAGUGAUUUCAAUGACAUCAAUAAUGAUUUAAUCUUGCGUUUGUUGCAUUAUUUAAACUUCUAUAUUCAUAUUCAUCUUUUAGUGUUCAUAUGGUUAGAUUCAAUCCCUGAAAAUUAAUGAGUGUUAUAAGAUUUGAGAAAUGUGGGGUGUAAAGAAAAUGUGGGGUGUAUGUACAAAAUAUAAUAUGUAUAUUGAGAAUGUGGGGUGUGGGGGUAUUAUGGGAAAGUAAGUGGGUGUAUUAAGAUAAUUUUUAAGUGAAAAAGCAAAUGUGGGGUGUAUUAAGUUUAUGGGGUUUAUUCAACAAUUUGUGGGGUGUUAAUAUAAUUAGCCUUUUUUAAUUAAUAAAUCAAAAGAAAGAAGGUUAUGUGGAAGCUGAGACGGUUCUAACUUCCUUAUUAGAAAGACUGUUAGGGACGCUACAAGUGGAUGGAUGUAUGCAUGUGAGCACCCCCACCUCUUCUCCACUCCAAUUUUAACUUCUUCCACCCCAAUUGUUGGAGUGGCAUUAUCAUCACAUCACACCCUAUCUAUCUAUGUAGUAAGAAGCAUAGUCUAAAAUAUCUAUAAUAUUCCGAUAUUUCCAUCGAAAUUUUCGUGUUUUUGAACUACCGAUAUUUCCGAUAUCAUCGAUAUUUUAGACCUUGCUAAGUCACUCAUGUAUCUUACCAUGCAAUGUAUAAAGUGUAAAAUAUUGUACUAAUUCAUUAUAUAUAAAUGAUUAUGGUGUGCUUAAACUUCUUUCAUUAAUUACUACAUAUUUUCUACAUUCACAAUGUUUGCCAGCUCACUAUAUAAUCAACUUAAAUCAGUUAUAUCUAUCAUGAAAUGCAUUUCCUUCCAAUUUUUUGUGAUAAACUAAUAGAUAAUUGACUAAAUAAACAUCCUGCAAAGUUUCAAUAAAAAUUUCCAUGUUUUUCUUACAAUUUCAGUGGUUUUUAUUCAAUUUUUAUCGAUAUCGAUAAUAUCCUGAUAUUUUCAUUGAAAUUUUCGUGUUUUUGGAUUACUGAUAUUUCUAAUAUCAUCGAUAUUUUAUAUCUUAGUUCACCUGUGGUUUUUACGUUGAAAAAAAAUCAUAACAAUGGUGGUGAAGGUGUAUGGGCCUCUGUACGGCUCCCCAAAGCGUGUGCUGGUGUGCCUUGUUGAGAAAGAAAGAGGUCGACUUUGAGACAGUCUCCAUUGAUGUCCUCAAGGGAGAGCACAAACACCCUGAUUUCCUCAAGUUGCAGGUUGGCUAAUUAAUUACUUCUUAAUCCAAUUGUUUCUCAUUAGUGAUUGUUUUACUCAUAAACUAUGGAAAUUAUUAUAGGAGUUUUAACUAAACACUUCAGAUACUGUUCACUUUUAACGAAAAAUCACAUUUUUAGCAUUUUCUGGUACUAUUUACUACAUCUUUAUUUGUCAUUUUUCAUUAAAAUUAAAGUGUUUUUGAAUUUUUCGUUAGUUUUUCUAAUUAUUUAUGUGUAUGUUGAUUUUUGUAUUGGUUUGUUUUAAAUGCAGCCAUUUGGAUCAGUUCCUCUCAUUCAAGUUGGGGAUUAUAUAUACUCUAUAUGGUAUGCUGUGCCUUCUUGCUGGCACUUGAUUUUUUAAUUUUAUUGUUUAAUAUAAUACAAGUGAUAGUGGGGCAGGAAAAUAGAACUCGGAAUCUCAGUUGAAGCAAUGAAUAUUCUUAACUAACUGAGCGACAACUAUUUUGCAGCCAAAUUUUUUUAUCUUUUGAGAAUUCCCUUUUGUGGGUUUACUUCAGUUAGCAUCAGAUUCACACUACAAUACACUUGCUCAUUGGUUUCUUAACAUCACCAACCAUAGCGAAGCCACAGAGACGCAAGGAGGUACGAGAAUUCGUCCCUCUGAACCUGCACGGAAGGUGUUCAAUGAAAUUCCUGAACUGAUCACCAAUACAAUGAUCUAACAAGUUGCUUACUAAGAAUGUAAAGUUGCACAUCGGAAACCAGAGCAAAUAAAAUACAACACGUAAUUAAUGAUUCCACAACAAAUAGAACCGAAGAUAUUUUUUUAAUUUUUUUAAUUUUUAAUUUUUUGAGAUAAAACUCCACUGGUCCAUCUUUCUGAAAUCUUGCCAAUUGUUUGAUAAAUCGUCUUUGAUCUGUAGAAUCACGAGCAAUCAUAAGGUACUACGCAGAAAAGUAUAAGUCACAAGGGACUAAUUUACUGGGGAAGACAAUUGAGGAAAGAGGGCUUGUGGAACAAUGGCUGGAAGUUGAAGCGCACAACUUCCACCCACCUAGCUACAAUAUGGUCCUUCACAUUCUCUUUGCCUCAGUUUCGGGUUUUCCUUCAGACCCCAAGAUCAUACAAGAGAGUGAAGAAAAGCUGGGAAAAGUGCUGGACAUUUACGAGGAGCGGCUGUCGAAGAGCAAGUACUUGGCCGGUGAUUUCUUCAGCCUUGUUGAUCUUAGCCACCUUCCGCUCACUCAAUACUUGGUGGCUAAUAUGGGGAAGGAGUAUAUGAUCUGGGACAGAAAACAUGUCUCUGCAUGGUGGGAUGACAUUAGCAACAGACCAUCUUGGAAGAGGGUCCUCCAGUUUGGUGCCCCAUUUUAAGGUCGAUGUACCUUUGGAAGAAAAUGUGUGUACAACGGGUGUAUACAAUGGUUUUUCUCGUAGUGAUAACGUGUUGUGUAUAAAAAGUUAUUGUGAGAAGAAGGUUUUACUCUCUUGUACUUUAUAUAAACUUUUGUAACCUGGGGGUUGGGCAAAAUAAAUAAUCAGAACAACUUGUUGGAUUAGUGUGCUCUUUCCUUUAUCAUUUGCUUUAUGUCAUGGCUAUCUGCCGAUCUGUGGUCAUUUUUCUGUGUCAUCUUCCUUCUAUUUUCACUUGAUGAUCAACACUGCAAGGUCAAGCUCAUCUUUGAUGUUCGAACUUGUGAACUACAUAAUACUUCUCCAAAUUAGGGUUUAUCAAUAGUAAAAUAUGUGUGACUGUAACACUACUUGGCAGUGUGAAGUCGCACUGAGAAGAUUAAAUAAAUAAAUACAUGUGUUAUAGUAUGUAAAAUUGUAACACCACGUAACAAUAUAACAGUUACUUAUAAAGAUUAAGUACAUAAAUACACUUGUAUAAUAUGAAUUAAAAAGAUCAAGUACAUAAAUACAUGUGUAUAAUAUAAAUAUUAUUCAUGUAAGUGUCUCACGUGAGUGGCUAUAAAGGAGACAGUUGUUCAUCAUAUGAAUACAAAACAAGGCAGAUAGAUAUCCACAACUUCAAUGCAUUUCAGAUGCUUUCUCAUCACAUUUGGUACCUUUUACUCGUCUUAUGUCAUGCCCUCCAUUUUAUAUGAAUUAUUUAUAAAAAAUUGUUAUUGACAACGGUAAGACCUUUAUUUUAUUUUUUUAAUUUUUUUAUAUUUAGUUAUGAGGAGUGCAUAAUAGAUUUUUAGAGUAUCAAUAAGAAUUAUUUUAUAUGUACAUAAUUGUCUUUCCCUUGCUAUCUUAGAGCUUCACCAAAAUAAAUGUCAAAAUGUCCAAAUUAGUAUUAAUAGUCAAAAGAUAGCAACAAUUUUCCAAUGGAAAAACCAUAUCUGAUGUGGCAUGACAUAAAUUAGCAACUAUCACCCUUGUUGCCCAAAUUAACAGCAACUUCAAAUCAUUUUUUAAUUAAUUAUUGAUUGCAUUUUAUUAAGUUUAUUAUUGUUUUUUCUUUCAAAACAUUUAUUAUAAUAUUUUAAUAUAAUAAAAUAAUAGCUUAAUUGACACAUCGGGUGAAGAGAAAAACUAAAAUAUGUCAAACUACGACAUUGACUGUCAAAUUUAAAUUUUAUAUUUAAAAUUGGAUAAAUUACAUUUUACCCCCUCAAGUUGAGGUUAACAAAUUUGUUGGAAUUUUGGAUUGACAGGCCGGGCCGCCCCACUCUAACAACACCAAUAUUGUCCCACAACUUGGUAAUUACCACAUGUCCAAUCCGUCAUGUGUGCAGAUUAGGUUUAUUAAUUAGAGUGAGGUAAUCAUAUUUAAGCUCAUUAUUUCCCUUUCUCCCACAUGUGGAUGCAAAUUUCUUCCUCCUUGAUCUUGGACAAUUUUGCACCUACAAAACAAUUAACACCUUAGGUUAAGGCCAAGAGCCUUACGUGCCCACGAUGAAUGGGGGGGGGCGUUGGCCGAAGAACCUCCGAUGCCAAAGUUAGAAUUUAGAGAGAAAGAGUGUUUAGAGAAUUUUGGGAUUUUUGCCAAAGUGUUGGAAUGAAUACAACAACAACAACAACAACAAAGCCUUUUCCCACUAAGUGGGGUCGGCUAUAUGAAUCCUAGAACGCCAUUGCGCUCGGUUUUGUGUCAUGUCCUCCGUUAGAUCCAAGUACUCUAAGCCUUUUCUUAGAGUCUCUUCCAAAGUUUUCCUAGGUCUUCCUCUACCCCUUCGGCCCAGAACCUCUGUCCCGUAGUCACAUCUUCGAACCGGAGCGUCAGUCGGCCUUCUUUGCACAUGUCCAAAUCACCGGAACCGAUUUUCUCUCAUCUUUCCUUCAAUUUCGGCUACUCCUACUUUACCUCGGAUAUCCUCAUUCUCAAUCUUAUCCUUUCUCGUGUGCCCACACAUCCCACGAAGCAUCCUCAUCUCCGCUACACCCAUUUUGUGUACGUGUUGAUGUUUCACCGCCCAACAUUCUGUGCCAUACAACAUCGCUGGCCUUAUUGCCGUCCUAUAAAAUUUUCCCUUGAGCUUCAGUGGCCUACGACGGUCACACAACACGCCGGAUGCACUCUUACACUUCAUCCAUCCAACUCGUAUUCUAUAGUUGAGAUCUCCAUCUAAUUCUCCGUUCUCUUGCAAGAUAGAUCCUAGGUAACGAAAACGGUCGCUUUUUGUGAUCUUCGCUAGAUUGCUCCGGUCAUUAGUGUGGAUAAGUAUAUAAAUGGAUAGAGAUAGGAAAGCAAACACAAGAUGUACGUGGUUCACCCAGAUUGGCUACGUCCACGGAAUAGAAGAGUUCUCAUUAAUUGUGAAGGGUUUACACAAGUACAUAGGUUUAAGCUCUCCUUUAGUGAGUACAAGUGAAUGAUUUAGUACAAAUGACAUUAGAGUACAAAUGACAUUAGAGUACAAAUGACAUUAGGAAAUAUUGUGGGAGAAUGAUCUCGUAAUCACGAAACCUCUAAGUAUCGGAGUGUGGUAUCAUCUUGACUUGCCUUAUCUGUCUCAUAGGUAGAUGUGGCAGCUUCUCUGGAAGUACUCUUCCUCCAUCCAGGGGUGGUAUCUUUAAUUGGUGGAGAUGCACAAGGUAAUGUAUCAAUUUCACUUGAAGCUUACUUGUAGUUUCAGGCUUGGUCAAGCGCGAUACAAACCAUGUAGUAGGAGUCCCCCACGUCGCCGAGCUAGGGGAUCUGCUGAAAGAGGUGACAGACAAGGUAAGCAAUCAGAGCUCCGGCUGAUUGUUCACCUUCUCCCCAUCUUGCAGCAGCAUGAAGGAUAAAGAGAAGAAAAAUGAGAAGAGAUGAUAUGGGAUACUUUUGCUUUUGAAGAAAUAGCUUUCCACAGGCUUAUUCUUGAACUGAGCUGGAGGGUUUUCUGGUUUCCUCCAGAGUAUAAGGCCGACUGAAGAAUUUGAGGGUCAAAACAAGUCCAUCAAAUCUAGAGUACGUUCGACCCUGCUGAUAUGGGAUACUUUUGCUUUUGACAGAGUAAUGGAUGUAUAGGCACGUGUGCUGUUACGUUUGUCUCCACAUGCUUCCUUGUAUCCUUCGCACUUGCCCUAUCUGUUCCUCAAGCAGAUGCGGUAUCUUCCCUGGAAACAUAAGAUGUUGAAGAUGAGUACUCGAGAGCAAUGCCAGGUAAGUAAUCAGGUAAGGGGUUCUAGGCAGUCAGUUCCUGAUUGGGAGCUUGAUUUCAAGUGCUGACUGAUUGCUCUCUUUCUCCUUGUCUUGCAGGUAAAAACAAGGCCAAAGGAAAAGACAGGGAAAAGCAUGAUAUGGGAUACUCUUGCUUUUAACCCUGAUGAUAUGAGAUAUUCUUGCUCUAGUAUAGCUUGUUUGCAGAGGUAUUAUCAGGGGGAAAGAAAGCUGAAUAUUUCGAAAGGCUUCGUUGGGAGUGCCCUCUUAGAUAUGAGGAAGGGUUAAGCAUUUUUGCAGGUCUGCCUGUUCGUUGGGGAUGAAGGUCGACAUAUAUAGAAGUCUCCCUAACAACAAGUAGUAAUGCUAUUCCUUUACCCUGCUUGGUCAUAGCACGGUAGUGGGAGCUGCCAGCUUCACAUGUUUUAACUCUGUCAGAGCACUUUGAAAAAGUGGCAUGUGGUAUCUGGCUCUCGAGAUUCGGAGAACGAUGCUUCUUCGAUUUUUGAGAAAGCAAUCAUGCUGGGGGUCUGGCUCUCGAGAUUCGGGGAGCAGUGUCUCUUCGAUUUUUGAGAAAGUAAUCAUGUUGGGAGUCUGGCUCUCGAGAUUCGGAGGGCGGUGCCUCUUCGAUUUUGGAGUAAGCAAUCUUGUUGGGAGUGUUUUCUCGGAUGUGAGUAAAGGUUCGGCAUGUUUACUAGUCUACCUUGCCACGAAGCACGGAGGUUGACACACAGGGACUUUCCAAUUAUCCAGCAGUGGUACUGUUCCUUUACCCUUAUGGGUAAUAAUAUGGUAGCUAGACCUUCAAAAUUUAUGUGUCUAAACUUUGUUAGUGCUGUUCUUUUGCUAUUCUUUUACCUUUCUUGGUCAGAGCGAUAUAGUGGGAGCUGCAAGCUUCACGUGCUCAACUUUGGCAGAGACUUUGGCAAAGUUAUCUGUGGUACCCAUGAGCUAUUGUUGCGUGUGGGAAGUGGGUGAUUGAACAGUAAGAUUCAUGUGUUUUCGACUUCACCAGAAGUCUUCGACAGAAUGCCCAUAAUUUCCGCAAAGCUGAGUGUGCGUGUGACAGGUGCUGACAAGGCUAGAAAAGUAGGUGCCUCUUCGAUUUCUGAGAUCGGCCCUCGUGAUCUCUGAGCAGCCCAGCUUUUGAGAAAGCGAGCGCCUCUUCGAUUGAUUCGGAGAACGAUGCCUCUUCGAUUUUUGAGAAAGCAAUCAUGCUGGGGGUCUGGCUCUCGAGAUUCGGGGAGCAGUGUCUCUUCGAUUUUUGAGAAAGUAAUCAUGUUGGGAGUCUGGCUCUCGAGAUUCGGAGGGCGGUGCCUCUUCGAUUUUGGAGCAAGCAAUCUUGUUGGAAGUGUUUUCUCGAAUGUGAGUAAAGGUUGGGCAUGUUUGCUAGUCUACCUUGCCACGAAGCACAGAGGUUGACAUACAGGGACUUUCCAAUUAUCCAGCAAUGGUACUGUUCAUUUACCCUCUCUUCGAUUUUUGAGAAAGUAGUCAUGUUGAGAGUCUGGCUCUCGAGAUUCGGAGGACGGUGCCUCUUCGAUUUUGGAGCAAGCAAUCUUAUUGGGAGUGUUUUCUCGAAAAUGUGAGUAAAGGUUCGGCAUGUUUGCUAGUCUACCUUGCCACAAGGCACAGAGGUUGACACACAGGGACUUUCCAAUUAUCCAGCAGUGGUACUGUUCCUUUACCCUUGUGGGUAAUAAUAUGGUAGCUAGACCUUCAAAAUUUAUGGGUCUAAACUUUGUUAGUGCUGUUUCUUUGCUAUUCUUUUACCCUUCUUGGUCAGAGCGAUGUAGUGGGAGCUGCAAGCUUCACGUGCUCAACUUUGGCAGAGAACUUUGGCAAAGUUAUCUGUGGUACCCAUGAGCUAUUGUUGCGUGUGGGAAGUGGGUGAUUGGACAGUAAGAUUCAUGUGUUUUCUACUUCCCCAGAAGUUUUCGACAGAAUACCCAUAAUUUCCGCAAAGCUGAGUGUGUGUGUGACAGGUGCUGACAAGGCUGGAAAAGUAGGUGCCUCUUCGAUUUCUGAGAUCGGCCCUCGUGGUCUCUGAGAAGCCCAGCUUUUGAGAAAGCGAGCGCCUCUUCGAUUUCUGAGAUCGGCUUUCAUGGUCUUUGAGCAGCCCAACUUUUGAGAAAGCAAACACCUCUUCGAUUUAUGAGAUCACCCUCGUGGUCUCUAAGCAGCCCAGCUUUUGAGAAAGCAAACGCCUCUUCGAUUUCUGAGCAGACGCCUCUUCGAUGUCUGAAGCUCCGUCGAGUGCAGCUUUUUAUAGGGGCUAGCAUUAAGUUCCAAAGCACACUUGAAUCUCCACCAGUAGAAGCUCCAUUCUUGCACUUCUAAGAUCUUGAUUUGUCCGACUUCUUCUCUCUUCAACACCUUUGAAAAUGUCUGGCCCCUCCGACCGUCGUUUUGACUUGAACCUUGUUGAAGAGGCAGCCCCGCCUUCUCCAGACAACAUAUGGCGCCCAUCCUUCGUCUCCCCUACUGGUCCUCUUACCAUUGGGGAUUCCGUGAUGAAGAAUGAUAUGACCGCGGCGGUGGUGGCCAGGAACCUUCUCACUCCCAAAGAUAACAGACUACUUUCCAAACGGUCUGAUGAGUUAGCUGUUAAGGAUUCGCUGGCUCUCAGUGUUCAGUGUGCAGGUUCUGUGUCUAAUAUGGCCCAACGCCUAUUUGCUCGAACCCGCCAAGUUGAAUCAUUGGCGGCCGAAGUGAUGAGUCUCAAACAGGAGAUUAGAGGGCUCAAGCAUGAGAAUAAACAGUUGCACCGACUCGCACAUGACUAUGCUACAAACAUGAAGAGGAAGCUUGACCAGAUGAAGGAAACUGAUGAUGGUCAGGUUUUACUUGAUCAUCAGAGAUUUGUGGGUUUGUUCCAAAGGCAUUUAUUGCCUUCGUCUUCUGGGGCUGUACCGCGUAAUGAAGCUCCAAAUGAUCAACCUCUGAUGCCUCCUCCUUCUAGGGUUCUGUCCAAUACUGAGGCUUCGAAUGAUCCCCCUUCGAUGCCUUCUCUUUCUGGGGCUCUACCGACUGCUGAGACUUCUCCUAAGCAACCUUUGUGAAGGCUCCAUCUUGUUUGUUUAUUUUGACUCAUGUAUAUGUACAUAUUUGUAGCUUAUCGGGGAUAUCAAUAAAUAAGUUUUCCUUCAUUUCAACGUAUUGUGUUAAAUACACCAAAGCCUUCUUCGCUAAGUUCUUUGAUUUUUUUUUUUUUGUUGAAGCUUGUAUGUUGAAGCUUUCUGAGUGGAGCAUGUAGGUUGGGGUAGUGUUCCCUUAAUUUUCCGAGUGAGGAAAACUUCUCGGUUGGAGACUUGGAAAAUCCAAGUCACUGAGUAGGAUCGGCUAUAUGAAUCUUAUAACGCCAUUGUGCUCGGUCCUGUGUCAUGUCUUUCGUUAGAUCCAAGUACUCUAAGUCUUUUCUUAGAGUCUCUUCCAAAGUUUUCCUAGGUCUUCCUCUACCCCUUCGGCCCUGAACCUCUGUCCCAUAGUCGCAUCUUCUAAUCGGAGCGUCAGUAGGCCUUCUUUGCAUAUGUCCAAACCACCGUAACCGAUUUUCUCUCAUCUUUCCUUCAAUUUCGGCUACUCCUACUUUACCCCGGAUAUCCUCAUUCCUAAUCUUAUCCUUUCUCGUGUGCCCACACAUCCAACGAAGCAUCCUCAUCUCCGCUACACCUAUUUUGUGUACGUGUUGAUGCUUCACCGCCCAACAUUCUGUGCCAUACAGCAUCGCCGGCCUUAUUGCCGUCCUAUAAAUUUUCCCUUGAGCUUCAGUGGCAUACGGCGGUCACACAACACACCAGAUGCACUCUUCCACUUCAUCCAUCCAGCUUGUAUUCUAUGGUUGAGAUCUCCAUCUAAUUCUCCGUUCUUUUGCAAGAUAGAUCCUAGGUAACGAAAACGGUCGCUCUUUGGUAUUUCUUGAUCUCCGAUUCUCACCCCUACCUCGUUUUGGCCUCCAUUUGCACUGAACUUGCACUCCAUAUAUUCUGUCUUUGAUCGGCUUAGGCGAAGACCUUUAGAUUCCAACACUUCUCUCCAAAGGUUAAGCUUUGCAUUUACCCCUUCCUGAGUUUCAUCUAUCAACACUAUAUCGUCUGCGAAAAGCAUACACCAAGGAAUAUCAUCUUGAAUAUGUCCUGUUAACUCAUCCAUUACCAACGCAAAAAGGUAAGGACUUAAGGAUGAGCAUUGAUGUAAUCCUACAGUUAUGGGAAAGCUUUCGGUUUGUCCUUCAUGAGUUCUUACGGCAGUCUUUGCUCCUUCAUACAUAUCCUUUAUAGCUUGGAUAUAUGCUACUCGUACUCCUUUCUUCUCUAAAAUCCUCCAAAGAAUGUCUCUUGGGACCUUAUCAUACGCUUUUUCCAAAUCUAUAAAGACCAUGUGUAAAUCCUUUUUCCCAUCUCUAUAUCUUUCCAUCAAUCUUCGUAAGAGAUAGAUUGCCUCCAUGGUUGAGCGCCCUGGCAUGAACCCGAAUUGGUUGUCCGAAACCCGUGUCUCUUGCCUCAAUCUAUGCUCAAUGACUCUCUCCCAGAGCUUCAUUGUAUGACUCAUUAACUUAAUACCCCUAUAGUUCAUGCAAUUUUGUACGUCGCCCUUAUUCUUGUAGAUAGGCACCAAAGUGCUUGUUCGCCACUCAUUUGGCAUCUUCUUCUUUUCAAAAUCCUAUUGAAAAGGUCAGUGAGCCAUGUUAUACCUGUCUCUCCCAAAACUUUCCACACUUCGAUUGGUAUAUCGUCUGGGCCUAUUGCUUUUCUAUGCUUCAUCUUCUUCAAAGCUACAACCACUUCUUCCUUCCGGAUUCGACGAUAAAAAGAGUAGUUUCUACACUCUUCUGAGUUACUCAACUCCCCUAAAGAAGCACUCAUUUUAGGUCCUUCAUUGAAAAGAUUAUGAAAAUAACAUCUCCAUCUGUCUUUAACCGCGUUCUCUGUAGCAAGAACCUUUCCAUCCUCAUCCUUGAUGCACCUCACUUGGUUUAGGUCCCUUGUCUUCUUUUCCCUUGCUCUAGCUAGUUUAUAGAUAUCCAACUCUCAUUCUUUGGUAUCUAGUCGUUUAUACAUAUCGUCGUAAGCCGCUAACUUAGCUUCUCUGACAGCUUUCUUCGCCUCUUACUUCGCUUUUCUAUACCUUUCACCAUUUUCAUCGGUCCUAUCCUUGUUUGGGAAUUACCUUGUAGAUAGGAUUUGAUGAGAUGGACUUUGAAUUGUUACCUAUUUUGGGCACUUCUGUCUUGGUUGAAAGAGGGUUGCUCGCUGCUUGCGCGUAGGAACCUCGUUGUACUGCAAGGGUAUUUUUGUCAUUUUUGUCCAAAAAUUCACGUGUCGCCUUGUGAAUAUUUUUGGCUCCACACCACCGAUGUGGGAUAAUCAACAAAAGUAACCGUUGAAUAAUGACGUAAUAAUAAUGUGUUCCUCAUUUAUGCUAACGUGCCAACUUGUGCCACAUGACCAUUAAAUUAAAAAACUUUUCGACUAGAAAAAUGAUCUUCGAAAUGCAUCCUUUAAUCUCUGAAAAUAUAAUUUAUCCUUUAAAAUUUAGCAUCUCUUUUUGAAGAUGCUGCUAAGACAUAAGAAAACUACAAAUGGAUGGAUGUAUACAUGUGAGCAGCCCCACCCACCCUCCACUCCAAUUUUAAAUUCUUCCAUCCAAUUGUUGGAGUGCUAUAUAAUAAGAAGUAAAGAACCAGAAGCUGGAGUUUGCAGAUUUGAUCUAAAUCCUUCGGUUUUAACACUAAGAAGUCAUAACAUGGUGGUGAAGGUGUAUGGGCCUCUGUACGCCGCCCCAAAGCGUGUGCUGGUAUGCCUUGUUGAGAAAGAGGUUCACUUUGAGACAGUCCCCAUUGAUCUUCUCAAGGGAGAGAACAAACACCCUGAUUUCCUCAAGUUACAGGUUAGCUAAUUAGUUACCUCUUAAUGCAAUUGUUUCUGAUUAGUGAUUGUUUUACUCAUGGUAUGAAUUGAGAUGGUCUUUUGUAAAUACAUAAUUAUUUUGAGUAUAUUAAUUAUUUCUUUAUUUUCCAAUCGUCUGGAAAGGCCAAAAGAAACAUCUUAUUCUUUCUUCAACAAUUUCUGAUCUUUAGUGGACCUCUCAAUAGGAUUUAAACCCAGAUGAAGUUCUGAUCAUCUGUCAGAGAAAAAAGAACGAAUAAGUCUGUAAAUUAUUUACUUGUACAUUGAUUUUGUAUUGGUUUGUCUUUAAUUGCAGCCAUUUGGAACAGUUCCUCUCAUUCAAGAUGGGGAUUAUACUCUAUAUGGUAUGCUAUGCUUUCUUUCUAGCACUUGAUAUUUUAGUUUUUAUUGUUUAUUCUGAUACAAGUGAUAGUGCGGUAGGAAAAUCAAACUCGGAAUCUCAGUUGUAUCGAUGAAUAUUGUUAAUCAACUGAGCAACAACCAUUUUUACUAGCACAUGAUAGAUCUUAAUUUUUGGGGCCAAAAUUUAUCAUCUUUUGAGAAUUUCCUUAGCAUCAGAUUGACAUUACAAUACACUUGCUCACUGGUUUCUUAACAUCAUUGUUGUUUAAGAAUGUAAAGUUGCAUGUCGGAAACCUGACCGAAUAAAAUGCAACACGUAAGUAGCGAUUCCACUAAUAAUAGAAGGGAAUUUUAACGAAAAACUCCAUGUACUGUUCACUUUAACGAAAAACCACAUUUUUACACUAAAAAGUCAAUCCUGGUACUAUUCAUUUUACCCUUUAUUUUGUCCUUAUCGUUAAAACUCAAAAUUUUCAAGCUAUUUUCAUUAGUUUUCCUAAUAUAGGGGUACCAAAGUAUUUUGAGAUAAAACUGCAGUGGUAUGUCUUUCUGAAAUCUUACCAGUUUGAUAAAAUCGUCUUUGAUCUGCAGAAUCACGCGCAAUCAUGAGGUACUACGCAGAAAAAUAUAAGUCACAAGGGACUGAUUUGCUGGGAAAGACAAUUGAGGAAAGAGGGCUUGUAGAACAAUGGCUGGAAGUUGAAGCACACAACUUCCAGCCACCAAUCUACAACUUGGUCGUUCACAUUCUCUUUGCCCCAGUUUUGGGUUUUCCUUCAGACCCCAAGAUCUUACAAGAGAGUGAAGAAAAGCUGGGAAAAGUGCUGGACAUUUACGAGGAGCAGCUGUCGAAGAGCAAGUACUUGGCCGGUGAUUUCUUCAGCCUUGCUGAUAUUAGCCACCUUCCAUUCACUCACUUCUUGGUGGCUAAUAUGGGGAAGGAGUAUAUGAUCAAGGACAGAAAGCAUGUCUCUGCAUGGUGGGAUGACAUUAGCAACAGACCAUCUUGGAAGAGGGUCCUACAGUUUGGUGACCCAUUUUAAGGUCGAUACCUUGUAAGAAAAAUUGUGUACUAAGGGUGUCUAUAAUUAUUUUUCUCGCAGUGAUACGUGUUGUGUGUGAAAAAUUAUUGUGUGAAGAACGUUAAAUUCUCGUGUAACGUUAUAUUCUCUUAUAGUUUAUAAAACUAUUGUACCCUGGAGUUGGGCAAAAUAAAUAAUCAGAACAGCUUGUUGGAAUAAUGUGCUAUCUCCUUGAUCAUUUGCUUUAUGUCAUGGCUUGUGAGAUGUUUUUUAUUUCUCUGUAAGGCUCACAAUCGACCUUCCAUUUGCUGAUUGGCUGAUCUUUGAUCGUUUUUCUGCUUCGUCUUCCUUCUAUUUUUCUGUUUCUGUAGUCCUCAUCUCUGAUGCCCGAACUUGUGAACUACAGGGUUAUACCUCUCCAAAUUAGGAAUAGUAAAUAAAUAAAGUGUUGCAAUAAGUGUGACUCUAAUAUCAUGUGGCAGUAUGACAACCGCAUUAAAAAGAUCAAAUAAAAAAUACACGUAUAAAUAUGUAUAAUUGUAACAUUAUGUGACAGUGUGACAACUUCAUUGAAAAGAAAAAAAAUCUUCAAACUUAAGAGCUUAGUUUUGCUAGAAAGGGUCAUGCUUGUACCUUGUAGGUUUAUGGGCCUUCUUCAGGCUGAAUUUGUUGUUAAUUUUAAUGCUUUUGAAAACCUCAUUAGUUUUGUGAAUGUUUGAUAUCAGAUCGUUACGAAAAAAGCUAAACAAAAUUGUUCAUAUUAAUAUACUAAAGAUUCUAUGAUACUGAUCAAAUCAAAUUACAAACAUGUACAUCUAUUAUAUUUGGACCGUGAGCUUUACAUAUACGUUAUAGAACAAUGUUCAACUCUUUAUAUAUAAAGAGUAUUUUGAAAUGUGUAACUUAUUAAACUCAUAUAAAAAGUUGGGUUUUUAUCACAAAUGGUCAUUGAAAUUGACUCACCUUAUCAAGAUGAUCACUGAAAUUAAAAAUCAAUCAAUGUGAUCCCUGAAAAUAAAUAUCGCAAAUCAAUGUGGUAUUUCCGUCACAAAUAUGUUAAAAUUAUGUUAUGUACUGAUAUGGCACAUAACUGGAUCCCACAAGUCUAAUUAUGACACACCCCGACCGAGAUCAAGGCAUGCUGGCCGUCACGUGAGGGUGACGUAGCCAUGUACACAGUGCGGAAGCAAUAAGGAUAGGAAAUAUAUGAAUAAAUAACAACCGAAAGUUACUAAUGUGCACUCAUAAACCAGAAGUGCUAAGAGUGAAAUACAAGUGUAAGUACACCUAAUCAGAGCGUAGAAAGUCUAGGUGCAAUCCAGUAGGACAAGUACUAGUCAUACAGUACCAUAAGAUGUCCUACAAUUAUUUUAAUAUGUCAGAACCACUGAAAUCCUCGCAUGCCACCAACAGCAAGCUUACCUAAAACCUGGAGGGGCGCAAAACAAAAACGUGAGCGGGCAAAAAAAAAAACAAAUGUUUUGCAAAACCAUUUCAUUUCUCAAAGGUUCUAACCCCUCACCAUAAAACAUGUAUAAUUUUCCCAGAGAUAGAAUAUAGACAUAUGCAUAAAUGUAUAUGUAAUUAUCUCAAUUCCAAUCAUGCUUCACAUAUUCAUAAUCAUAAGUAUGUCAUGCCAAGAUAUAACAGAAUAGGUAAUUCAGGUGAGAAUAAAUUCAAGGAAAGUAACAUAUAAGUCGGAACACCUGUAGAAAUCUGUACGGUUGAAUUCAUAGCUCAAUAGUCAACCUAGCCAGAGUCACUAAUAUGACCUAUACGACAUUACACUGCACACAAGUCGGAACCAAUGAAAGGUCUGUACGACAAGACUGGGUUUAAUAUAAUUAUACUCAAUACUACUCUCUCAUGAUAGUUAGGCGAUAAGUCGCUAGUCACCUACAAGUUGGAACCACUUAUGAUGGUCUAUACGACAAGACUGUGCACCUAAAUUGGAUCCAAUAUGAGCAUAUGGUGCAGGAGGUGACAUUAUAUACAGGCAUGUGUCAUAUCUCUAGCUAAAUCAUAAUCACCCUAGGUGCAGGUUUAUGAGCUCAAUGUUUCUCAAUCACAUAUCACAUCAUCGAUGAUUCACAUAACCAAACAUAACUCACCUGUUACUUACCUGAGCGUCCACAACACCACAAUUAUAUAUUAUGCAUCAUAUACUAUAGCAAAUACAAAAUAUAAAUCUAUAUGCAUGACAUUCAAGGCAUACUUUCAUUUAAAUGCAUUUUUUGGGAAAAUAUCAAGUAUAUAAGUAUAUACUGAAAACCAAAAGCCUGCUCACUGGUAUGUCAAAGGGUCGUAGCCCCCGAGUCGCCCUUGAUUGCGCUCUUCCUCGGGGUAAGUCUCACCUAUAUGCGAAUUAACUGAAUAAAUGUUAAAUUAAAGCACAUAACCAAUAUUAGCUAAUAACUACUCAUACAUUGCUCAAAUGGGAUGUUUGAAUAUACCAACGUGAUCUACACAACUCCACGAACAUCCUUAUAUUUUUAGAAAAUAUUUCCGACCACGCACGCGCCGCCAAGCACCGACCAAGGCACGGCCAGAUGCACCGCCCACGCGCAGGCACAUGCCAGGCACACUGACAGUAACCCUAACAGCAUUAGGGAAUAUUCCGUUAAAAAGUAGCAUAUACCUUUAAAACUAACCUGACGCCGUUAGAAUAUUCCGUCGUCUCCUUCCUUGGUUCGCUGGACCGUCGCCGUUGCCGGAAAAACUGGAAAUUUUCUAACCUUAAUAUCUCAGUUGUUUUUCAUCCAAACUUCAUGAAACUUAACUCAAUUUAAAGCUCUUAACUUGUAGAACAUCCCCAUACCUAUUUAAUGCUCUGAAAAUGACGGAACCCGCCGGAAAAUCCUCCGAUAAUCCAGCUAAACCUGUAACUCGUCGAAACUAGGUCUCUUGACAUCCAAUUUGCUUGGUUUUGAAGGAUAAAAUUUGUCCUAGCUAAGAACAUGUGAGAAUAUUUGAACACAUAUGCAAACUAUUAACACAUUUAAAGUAGGCAUGCAUUCAAAAACAAUUCUAAAACCCAUGACUUUCAAAGCCUAGUGAAUAGUGAACCAAGAGACUCUUUAACAACAUUAAAGAGAAAGAAGGUUUUAGAGAUUCAUUACCCUUGAAGCUCAUCCUUGUUUACACAAGGGAUUCACCCAAGUGGAGGGCCUUCAAGUCACCUCCUAGCUCCUUGGAUCUUCCUUGUGAUUUCCUUCCUUUUUUUAUGCUCCUUUGCUCCUUGAGGAUGUGAGGAAAGGAUCUCCAAAAACACCAAAGGUUUGGUGUCACUAAGUCUCCACACCAAGGAUGAGGUGUGAAGAUGAAAUGGAUGACUUAGAGAAGAAAAGAUUGCUAGCUAUCUCCUCUCUAAGUGGCCGGCCUCCUUGUAGAGAAAAAGAGAGAAAGUCCUUCACCUUUUUGCCUCAAGAAAACCCUAAUGAGGUAAAACCUAUAAAGAUGCUUUUAUAUCUCUUUUCUUAGGUGAGUGGCAAACUUGCAAUUAAGCAAAACUUCUCACUACCCUUGCUAUGGCCGGCCAUCUUAAGUGAUUGGGCUAUUUGCCCAUAUUUAUUUUAGUUAUCAUACAGCUUAAACAUAAUGGGCCUAGUGGACCAAACCCUUUUGGACCCCAAAGCCCAAAACUAACUUAAAAGCCCAAUACGAACCUUUCCUAAAAUUAAUUAACUAAUUAAUUAAUCUUGACCAUUCUCAAUUAAACCAUUUAAUUGCUUAUCCAUCUCAUUUAUAUUUCUUCACUUUCAUCCUUACUCGGUGUACGAUCCAUUAGGUUCUAAUUAGCGAGGCAGUGGGCGAUUGUUACUCUUCACGAUCGAUUAUGAAUUGAAACUACAUUUCAAUUCUCCCUUUGAUUAAGAUUAGUUUUUGCUAAUCUUCAAGGCUUCCACAAACCAUGAGUGACACCUAGUAGCAUGUCAUGGUUACCCAAGCUAAGUAGAAGUGGUUGGAGAACCUAUCCAGUUACAACUACAACGCAAUACGGUCUUUCUCUAAUACAAUACUCUUAAUCACAUUGUUUGAGUGACAGUUUGUUUCAUGUCUACUAUCCAAUGUAAUACUUCUCUAUAUGAUUCAAUUGAAUAUGAUUUGGAACAUACUUCCUAAGUCAUAUUCGUAUGCUUUGGCCAAAGACUCCCGAAUCAUAUCUUAGAGUAUUCUCCUUCCACCAUGGAAGGUUAGAGAUCCCUUGUUGUGCAUUCAUAUGCCUACAUGACUAGAUAGCUUGACCCCAACAAUGUCGUGGACACUCUCGAUGGAAUGCCUUUGACAUGAUCAAAGAUCAAGGACCUAACCAUUAGACAUCUAUGAUGCCUCAGGUCAAAUGACUACUUUGCAUAUUGCAACUUACGAGUUCUUACAUGACAUGUAUGUUCGAACUCUCUUUUGAUCGUUGUUCAGUGUACUCGAUUACUCUUUCGAGCACCUAUGUGUUUGUCUUAGUGUCAAACACUAAAUGACUUGAGACUGGUCAUACUCACGCUUGAGUUGACAUAACACAUACUAACCUUAGCGGAUUGUUAAUGCCCAAUUAGCAAUCCUAUGGCUAGGAACGUUUUAGGAAUGAACAUAAGAGAAAUGGUCUCGAUUAAUCUAACUUACUUAAAUCACUUCUCUCUUAGAUCAAAUACAUUCCUUGGAUUCCCUUAUUGCUUAAACACAUGAUACAAUAAAUAGUGAUUAACAAUAAGCUUUGCCUUUCAUUAAACAUAUAAUAGUUUAAUACAAUAAGUAUUCCAAAAGCUAUUACAUCAAAUGAGUGGCUUUGUGGGCAUACUUCCAACAAUCUCCCACUUGCACUCAAAGCCACCUUCCCAUGUAUCUAAUACCCAUCUUUUCCAUAUGGCGGUCAAGUUGGAUUUGAGACAUUGGCUUUGUCAGUGGAUCUGCUACGUUAUCUGGCUGAGGGCAACCUUUGAGGAUGUUGACUUUCCCCCUCGGCAGCAUAUCUUCUAAUGAUAUUAAAGCGCCUGUCAAAAUGCUUGUUCUUUUGAUGAGCCCUGGGUUCCUUGGCUUGAGCUAUCGCCCCACUAUUAUCACAGUACAAAGUUACUGGUGAUGUAAUGGUUGGAACCACUCCAAGUUCAGUAAUGAACUUCUUCAUCCAGAACGCUUCUUUGCCGGCUUCAGCUGCAGCGACAUAUUUUGCCUUUGUCGUGGAAUCAGUAAUUACAUCUUGUUUCUUGCUUUUCCAGCUGACAGCCCCACCAUUCAGAGUGAAUACAUAUCCGGAGUUGGAACUUCUAUCAUCGACGUCAGAUUGGAAAUCUGCGUCUGUAUAGGCCUUCCACUCGCAACUCUGUUGCUCCUCCAUAACGAGGAACAUGUCCUUAGUUCUUCUUAAGUACUUAAGGACCGUCUUGACAGCUGCCCAGUGUUCUGAUCCUGGGUUAGAUUGAUAUCGACUAGUAAUGCUCACAGCAUAUGCGAUAUCAGGCCUUGUGCAUAUCAUGGCAUACAUGAGACUUCCUAUGGCGGAAGCAUAAGGAAUAGCACUCAUCUGCCGUAUCUCUUCAGGAGUUUUAGGUCCCAUGGACUUAGAAAGGUGAAUUCCAUGUCUCAACAGGAAGAAGACAUUUCUUAGAUCUUAGAUUGUUCCAUCUGGAACCUACUUAGCACCUUAUCAAUGUACAUAGAUUGGGAUAAUCCAAUUAAUUUUCUGGAUCUAUCACGAUAGAGCUUUAUCCCAAGUACAUAAGAUGCAUCUCCUAAAUCUUUCAUGUGGAAGGUUUUGGACAACCACACUUUUACAGAAGAAAGUACUGCAGUGUCAUUCCCGAAUAGUAAUAUGUCAUCUACAUAUAACACUAGGAAUACAACUGCAUCCCCAACGACUUUUUGAUAAACACAAUUGUCGUCUUCGUUUUGAGUAAAACCAAACGUUUUGAUUUCAGUAUCGAAACGAAUGUUCCAGCUCCUGGAGGCUUGCUUAAGUCCAUAAAUGGACCUUUGAAGCUUGCAUACCUUAGUCUUUUCAGACUUGGACACGAAACCUUCGGGUUGAGUCAUAUAGAGCUCUUCCUCUAGGUAGCCGUUCAGAAAAGGUCCGUCUUCACGUCCAUUUGCCAUAUCUCAUAAUCAUGGUACGCAGCUAUAGCAAGCAAAAUCCGAAUGGACUUAAUCAUGGCUACAGGAGAGAAAGGUUUCUUCUUCAUAGUCAAUCCCUUCUCUUUGCCUGUAAACCCUUGGCUACUAGUCUAGCCUUAUAAGUCUCCACGUUCCCAUCAACGCCUAUCUUCCUCUUGAAGACCCAUUUGUUUCCAACAGGUACUAUACCUUCUGGAGGGUCUAUAAGAGUCCAGACCUGAUUUUGAUACAUGGAAUCCAUCUCGGAUUUCAUGGCCUCUUGCCAUCUCUUUGAAUCAAUGUCGGACAUUGCUUCAGUGUAGUCUCUAGGGUCUUCCUUUGUGUUCAUUGUCACCUAGAAGGUGCAAUUCCCAAAGUCAUUGUCUAAGCCAUACCUCUUUAGGUGGCUUACUAAUCCUUUCAGAUCUACGUGGAGCUAGGGGUUCAGGAACAGGGUUGUUAACUUGUUGAGUGCUUGUUUGUGGUUCAUCAUUAAUCUCAUUAAUUUCCAUCGUUCUGCUUAUAGUUCAUUUGAGAACAAAUUCGUCCUCUAGAAACUUAACAAUUCUGGCGACAAAAACUUUUUGGUCGUCAGGAUGGUAGAACUCAUAUCCCAUAGUUUCUCUAGGAUAUCCCACAAAAUAGCACCUAACUGAUCUUGCUUCAAGCUUAGUAGCUUCAAGCUUCUUGACAUAUGCUUCACAACCCCAAAUCUUAAUGUGAUUAAGACUUGGCUUUCUUCCAUGCCAUAUCUCAUAGGGCGUCUGUGAAAUUGACUUGGAAGGUACUCUAUUAAGCAAGUAAACUGCUGUAUAUAUAGCGUAUCCCCAUAAUGUUACUGGUAGAUCGGUGGAACUCAUCAUAGAACGAACCAUGUUCAUCAAGGUUCGAUUUCUCCUUUCAGAAACUCCAUUAAGUUGUGGAGUUCCCGGUGGAGUCCACUGUGAUAUUAUUCCACACUCUUUGAGAUAAUCUAGGAACUCAGUUACUCAGAUACUUCACCCCCUCGAUCUGAUCUUAGGAUCUUUAUUUGUUUCCCAGUUUGCUUCUCAACUUCAUUCUUGAAUUCUUUGAACCUUUCAAAGGAUUCUGACUUGUACUUCAUAAGAUACACAUAGCCAAACCGAGAGUGAUCGUCGGUGAAUGUGAUAUAGUAGGAGAAGCCUCCUCUCGAUGUAGUAGACAUAGGUCCACAUAUAUCAGUGUGGAUUAACCCUAGAAUUUCAGUGGCACGCUCUCAUUUCCCAGUGAAUGGAGAUUUGGUCAUCUUCCCUUUUAAGCAACAUUCACAAGUACCCAUUUGGUCAUUACCUAAUGGGCGGAAAUAUCCGUCUUUCGACAUCUUGCGAAUCUUAUCAAGGUUCACAUGUCCAAGUUUAAGAUGCCACAUCUUUUCUUGGUUAACUUCUUCUCUAGCCCUUUUGGGUUUUGAGGUAUUCCCGCUUUCAAUACAGUGCAUCCCACUACUUGUCUCUAGGUGAAAAAGUCCCUCUAUCAUAUUACCAUGAGAGAUAAUAUGAUCGUUCAAGUAUAAAGUGCAACUCAUUUUGUCAAACAAUACUGAAUGCCCAUCUCGUAAAAGCUUAGAGAUAGAAAUCAAAUUCUUUACAUAUGAAGGAAAAUAUAAACAAUUUUUAAGUUCCAAGACUUCCCCAGAGGGCAGUUUAAGCAUGUAGGUGCCUAUUGCUUUAGCAUAGAUCUUAGUGCCGUUCCCAACUCGCACAAUCAUCUCCCUAUUGCGCAAUGUCCUGCUCCCUAUUAGUCCUUGCAACGAAUUGCAGAUAUGUGAUGCGAAAUAUAUAAGCACACAAAUUAAACCCUCUUUUUGACAAUUGUAGUAUAGAUGUAAGUAGGGUAUCGUUCUAGGCCGGGGAUUAGGAGGGAUUGCUAAUCUAUUCUAAAUUAAUUUAAAAAUAUUAAACAAGACUCAAGGAUACAAACUAGGCUAAAAACUCUAAUAACUCGAAACACACUUAAAAUGACUCAAAAUAAUGAAAACAAUUAAAUUAAACACUAGGAACUGAAAUGGAUGGAAAUUAAAUUAAAAGACUAACAAUAAAGAAAACUAAAUAAAUAAUAUAAUUUAAUAAUGGAUGGGUGUUUGGUUUUGACUAGAAGUAAAUUAAACUUAAAUAAAUUACAGAAUUGACAAAAACAUGAAAUUAAGGUGAAAUGAUAAAUGACGGACUAGCUAGAGGGUUCUUCUCCACACAUGACACAUAUGCAACCUAAAUUGAUUUUCAGUUGUUCUUUCAAUAAAUUGUAGUAUCUCAAUACUCCAGAUUAACCGUGAACAGCACUUUUUUAAUCUUCAAGUUUUCCUUAAGUUAUUGAAUUGGACGGGAAAACGCAUACAACAAUUCAAAACAUUCUUCAAAAGUCCCCUACGUGGAAAGCACAAUAGAGAUACAAUCAAAGAUCAUUAAACUUUGUGAAAACUAUAAGCAUUGACGAGGCAUUCGUAACUAUGAAAAGCAUGAUACUCUUGCCAAGAAUUUACUUAACGUGAUUGUGACUAGCAACCUUUACUACUUGUGAAAAUAAGUUCAUAACGAUUAGGUGAAAUUCACUUAUAUUCUAGCAUCAAAAUUCAUGCAUGUGAAUUAAGCGUGCACUCUCAACCAACAUACACAAAUCAGUUUUUAUAUACGAACGGAUAAGUAAAUUGAAAUCACAACUUAUGAAAUCACAACCGAAGGUAAUCAAUUCAUAUUACAAAUAUAAAUCAUGGCUUUGAAUUAACCUCUAGCCAACAUAAAUUUAAUUACACAUUAUUAAAACAGAAAUAAAAGAGAAGUUUGGAAAAAUUAAACCGAAAGAGGAUGAUCUGUUGCUGUGCAGCUUCACUGCGUCGUCAGUACGUGCUCUGUCAGUCACUCCUCUCUCCUGCACGUCCUCUCCUUCUUCCUGACCUCCCGCGCCUCACUUGCCCCGUCAGCCUUCCACGCUGACUGCUUUCCUUCUCAGCUUCUUUCUGCUCGGUUUCCUCUCGAACACAAGCUGCCACGCAGCAGCAAUUGCCGAGCUGCAAGGUCCUUCUAUUUUCAAGGCUGCACAGCAGCCAAGUCCACGUGCUCUCCCUUGUUUCACGCUGCCCAAGCAGCGUUUUUCAGUCUUUUCUCGUGCACAAGCUGCAAGGCAGCAGUGCCCUCUCAAUUGCUGCAAGGGCAGCAGUUUUGCUCGGUUUGUGCUCUCUCUCGCUGCCCAAAGGCAGAUUGUUUAUUUCCUGCGCAAGACAGUCUCUCGGUUUCUCCCCAAUCCCGUGCGCACUCUGCGCUUAUUCCCCCGCAGCUUCUUGCUGCUCUCUUUUCACGCUGCCCCAAAGGGCAGCUCUCCCCCCUCCUUUCUUCACGGAUUUCCACUCUUCUCUGUCUCCUCCUAUCUCCCGCUCCCCAGACCCCCAAUUAUUUUUCUCUCUGCGAACUGCCCAAAGGGCAGUCCCUUCUCCCGCUCCAAGACCCCCUUUCUCUCCCUACCCGUGUCAGUCUUCUUAUUUCAUUCUUUUCCUCUUUUCACGCUACCCCCCGUGUCUCACGUUUCCCUGCUUCUCUUCUUUUCCCCCUGCCAAGGGCCCGUGUCUCCCUUGGAUUCUUCUUUUCUGCCUUUCUUUUCUGGCAGCCUCGCUGCCUUCCCUUUCUUCUCACGUCCUUCCCCAAUUAUCCUUUAUUCUAUUAUUCUUUUCGUUUCUGGUCCCUGCCUUUGCGUCUUGGAUUCCUUCCUUUCCAGCUGCAAAGCAGCUUCCUGUUGUUUUCAGAAGUGAAGAAUAUGGGAGUCAACGAGGUAAAAAAAAUAUAAAUCAUGAUGCUCUCUUGCUCCCUCUUUGACCGACUCUCCCCAUUUCUUUUGUUUAUGCCGUGACAUAAUUCUACCAAUAAUCCAUGACAGAAUGAGAACGACUAAAGCAAUUUUCGACGAAUUUAUUAUUUAAAACUCAUUUGUGCUAUUUUUAUUUUCUUUGCAUAACAACUCCUAUAAACACAAAAAUAACGUAAAUAGCUCAAAAAUAUAAGGAACUAACUAAGAAAAGACGAGUGAAUUCGAAGUAAAAAUAUAUAUAAAUAUGAUCCGAUCAAAUACCCCCACACUUAACUUUUGCUAGUCCUCGAGCAAAACAAAGAAAACAAGAACAAGAAGUAACAAGAAAAAAAAAAAAAAACAUUAGCUUCCCUCUAUGUGACCCUCAUAGAAUUUCAUUUAAGAAAACAAAUUAUCAAGAACCAUAGCUAGCACCAAACAAGUUAAUCCAAGUUCAAAUUCCUAAUUCAAAUAUUAGCAGUAAUCUUUAAAUCAUCCUUGAAGUGUAGUGUGUGAGAUAGUCAUGCUAAUGCAAUUUCAAGUUUUUAUUUUUAAAAUCAUCAUAUGCAAACUAGCGACAUUCUCACGGGAUAUACACUCAAUCACACAUGUGUUUAGUUUAAAUGUGUUUCGCUCAAAGAAUCAAAUGUGAAAUUUCUACCAUAAGCUUGCAUAAAGAUCACUUCUCCACAGUCAUAAUUGCAAAACUUAAAUCAAGAGGACUUUUAUUGGAUGUAAUGAGGCUUAGGGAUAGGGUUAUUGAAACGAAAGAAUAGGAAAACACAAGUUCCAAGCUACAUUGCAAGCAAUUCUUUUGUUUUAGAUUUAUAAGAACUCAAGCUUUCCAACGAUUCUUUUGAAACCUCCAAUCACACCCUUAAACUGAAACUUUAAAAACAUUUUUUUUUUUUUUUCUUUUCUUUUCUUCUCUUUUUUUUUUUUUUUUUUUUUUUUUUUUUUAAAUACAAACAUGAAAUACCCCCACACUUAUUCUUUUGCCAAACACCUUCAAAGUACUUCACAAACAUUUCUCAUAAGACAAUCUCACAUUGCUCGCUUGGAAAGGGUAAGGAAAAAUGUUUCAGGUAUAAGGGUAGACAUAUCUGGUGAUAAGAAAUAAAAGGCUCAACAAACACGGCUCAAAUUGGCAAACUAAUGAUAUCAUUUUUCUUUGGGAAACAUGGUUAUUUGGGCCAUAGUGGUAAACCUAAUGCCUCUAUCAUUUCCAAGUUCAUGCAAUCAAUGACAAACAUUUCGAAAGAUCGUUACGCAAGUUCUAGAGAUGUAUCUCACAUAAGUUCAUCACACAUGAAAGAAUAGGAGUGUAUGAAAAAUGCACACAGUUUCAAUCGGCUCAAAAACUCACAUAGGAUGUAUAUGGUCACUAAAUUCACAUAUGAAGCUUUAAGUCAUACUUUAGUUUCACAUUAACAAGGCUAUGUGCAUUUGGUUUUUCAAAGAUGAUCAAACAUGUACAAAACUAACAAAAGAAUUAGGAAUUUCACAAAACACAUGUUAACUAAGUUCUUGAUGAUCAUGGUUCAAAUUUUUUUCAAUUAUAUCAUUGGGUCGGGAAACUAACAAAAAUCUAAUUCAAAACAAUAAGGAAAACAAGACAAUAUUUUUGGAUUUUUAAAUUUUCCGAAUUUUUUUUUUUUUUUUUAAUUUUUAAUUUUUUUUUUUUUUUUUUUUUUUUAAUUUUUUUUUUUUUUUUUUUUUAAAAGAAAACAAAACUAAUUAAGAACACAAAAAAAACAACACAGAGACAAAUGAAAUUCUAGAGAUUUCUACCCCCACACUUAAACUUGACAUUGUCCCCAAUGUCAGAAAACACUAUAAUGCAAAUAAAAAAUAAAAUAAAAUAAAUAAAUAAUAAGAAACAAAAUAACGCAAUUGGACUGAAAACUUCCCUAAUUUGCAGUAAAAUCAAGCGAUGACCCCCAAGCUAAAAUUCUGCAAUCAACUUCAAGGGUGGAAAUAACCAAAAGUUCCUGCAAAGAAAAGAAAUAAUUCAGUUAAGUACGCAAGAAAAUUAAUUAAAAAAAAAUUGCAAACGAAAAAUUGAAAAUUACGAUAAAAGAUAAUGAAUAAAACUAAUAAGUAAUCAUUGGUCGUGCUUGUUGACUUUCCACAGCUUUCCUCUUGAACGGGGUGACACUUAGCUUUUUACUAUUUGAUGAUAUUGUACGGCGGAGCUUUGCUCUUUGGUGAUGUUGCAGUUCCUUAUUUGUUCUCCAAGCAGAUGUGGCAGCUUCUCUAGUUCUUCAUCUCAGACUCCUUCUGCUGGGAUGAUUGUGCAAGCUGCAUUCUUCUCUGCUUGUUUCCUCUGCAUGGCGGGCAGGCACGAGGGAGAGGUGUUGGUCUGUUUCUUUCUUCAAUCUUUCCAAGUGCCCACCUCUUGCUCUCUUUCUCCUUGUCCUUAGUUGAGGAUGAAUCAGCACGUUGUCUCCACAUGCUUCGAGGUAUCAUCUUCACUUCCCUUAUACGUAAGAGACGAAGAGGAAACACAAGAUGAUGAGUACUCGAGAGCAAGUGCUGGCUGGAGAAAGGACAGGGAGAAAGCAUGAUAUGAGAUACUCUUGCUUUCAACCUUCAUGAUAUGAAAUACUUUUGCUUUGAAUGGGUUGUUCGCAGGAGUAUCCCAAGGAAUGAGGAACACAGAGUAACUUAGGAGGAUUCUUUGGGAAUGCAUUUUCGGAGAUGAAGAAGUGUUGAGAGGGUGUGCUGAGAGAGUGUGCUUUUGCUGUGGAAGGCGAAGGUAGAAACUUAUAGGGCUUUUCUUCACAACCGGAACUAUUCUCUCACUCAUUGUCGGCAGCCGGUGGAUGGAUGAAUAGUACACAUUACGCGCUUUCUGACAAAGCUGCCCGUAAUUUCCGCAAAGCAGAUUCCUCAUUGAUAUCUGGAAUCGGCGCUUCGAGCUCUGAGCAACGUCGAUUGUAGAGGUAGCAUGUGACACGUGCGGAUAAAUCUGGAAAAGAAGAUUUGCCCGUGGGUUGAAGCCCAGCUUUUGAGAAAGCUAGCGUGUCUUUGACUGUUGAAUUUCCCUCUUCGAUUUCUGAAUUGGUGCUUCGACAAACUGCCCGAGAAUUUCGCAAAGCAAUUUACGUGUGACAAGUGACGACACGUCUGGACAAAUUGAUCUUUUGAAAUCCGGGGUUCGGCUCGUGGUUUCUGAGCAAGCCCAGCCUUUAAGAAAUGAAACGCCUCUUUUGAGAAAAGAAUCCGGCUUUUGAGAAAGGAGCCCCGACUCUUCGAUUUGCGAGAGGACGCUUCUCUGAGGAGCGCCUCUCCGAUUUCUUCUUUUUAUAGAGGCGUUAAGCUUGUUCCACAACACACUUGAGCACCCUCCUGUAAACACUCUCUUCUU
This 87756-nucleotide long non-coding RNA is filed under the name Malus domestica (apple). RNAcentral describes it as "long non-coding RNA (MDOM_LNC017366)". Lineage: Eukaryota; Viridiplantae; Streptophyta; Magnoliopsida; Rosales; Rosaceae. The record is from RNAcentral.